RNAcentral lists this long non-coding RNA (83708 nucleotides) under Daucus carota (carrot). Its description in RNAcentral is "long non-coding RNA (DCAR_LNC002600)". The record is from RNAcentral. Lineage: Eukaryota; Viridiplantae; Streptophyta; Magnoliopsida; Apiales; Apiaceae.
UUCUCUUUGUUUUCUUUCUCUCAUUACUUCAAUCCAUUCUAACAACACAAGAGGGAGAAGCUCUUGUGAAAUGGAAGAAUAGCCUAGCCCCUUCUUCUUUUCUCGACUCUUGGUCACUCACCAAUCUCGAUAAUCUUUGCAACUGGACUGGCAUUACUUGUAACUCUGCAGGUUCAGUCUCUCUGAUUAACCUCUGUGAGAAACAACUUGAUGGAAUGCUGUCUGAGUUUGGUUUCACUUCAUUUCCAAAUCUCAACAAUCUCACCCUCGCAGUUAACAACUUCUCCGGUCCAAUACCAGCAGCCAUUGAGAAUUUAACAGAGCUUCGGUAUCUUGAUUUGAGCAAUAAUUAUCUAGAUGGUCCCAUUCCUUUCCAGGUUAGCCAUCUUCAGAGGUUGCUCAUCUUAAACCUGUCACGGAAUGCAUUGCAAGCUCUAAAUUGGUCCAAUUUCUCUCCCAUGCCUUUUUUGCGCAUCCUCAAGCUCAGUAGAAAUCAUCUUGCGUCGAAAUUCCCAAAUUUUAUAUCCAAUUCUCAUAGCCUGACUCACCUUGACCUUUCAUAUAACAUGUUUACCGGUGAUCUAGCAUGUGAACCAAUAUUUGCCAACCUGCAUAAGCUUGAAGUGCUUAGUCUCGUUGACAAUUCUUUUGAGGGGCCAUUUCCGCCAAAUAUAUUCAAGCUUUCCAAAUUAAAACGUCUUGCCCUGUCAGGUAACAAAUUUUCAGGUCCAAUUCCCAAUGACAUAAGGUUGCUUUGUGAUCUUGAAUCCCUAUAUUUAGGUAACAAUUCCUUUGAAGGACCGCUUCCACCAAAUAUAUUCAAGCUUUCAAAAUUAAAAGAUCUUGUUCUUUGGCGUAAUAAGUUUUCAGGUUAUAUUCCCAAUAGUAUAAAUUUGCUUUCGGCGCUUGAAGCCCUCGAUCUUUAUUCUAAUUUUUUUGAGGGGCCGCUUCCACCAAAUAUAUUCAAGCUCUCAAAACUAAGGAUUCUUUCCCUUGGGAACAAUAACUUUUCAGGUUCUGUCUCUAAUAAUAUAGGUUUGCUUCCUGAGCUUGAAACCCUAUAUCUUGACUCUAAUUUGUUUGAGGGGCCGCUUCCCCCACAUAUAUUCAAGCUCUCUAAAUUAAGAUAUCUAGACCUCUCAAACAAUAGAAAUUUAUUUGAAAGAAGUAUUCCUAUUGGAUUGGGACUCUUGACUAACCUCAACUAUUUAGAUCUACAUUCCAGUAAUCUCAGUGGCGAUAUUUCAUCUGCCAUUGGAAACCUGAAGCUACUAGUAUUUCUUGAUCUCAGUUUUAAUCAAUUGACCGGACCGCUUUCAAAGAUCGUUUCUAAUCUCACAAAUCUUAUAUAUCUUGAUGUAAGUCAUAAUAGUCUUAGUGGAAAUAUUAGUGACUUGUGGAAAUAUUAUUUGUCUGGGAACAUUCCUAAGGAAUAUAAGGAUCAUCCAACUUUGGAAUACAUCAAUUUAAGUGGGAACCAUUUUACAGGUAUGUUUUCUCUACAUAUCUUUUCCUUUUGUCAUAUUAACUAAGCUUGUAAUCUUUUUGUAGUUUUACCAAAGUUUCAACAAUCUUGACAGGUGAGCUUCCAACAACAAUUUGCAAUGUCACUUCCCUUUCGGUUCUUGAUUUGUCAAAUAAUGAAUUAAGUGGUGCACUUCCAAACUGUUUCGGGAAUCUUGCUGAUGGAUUGCUUUACAUUAAUCUUGCUAAUAAUCAGUUUCGAGGAACAAUACCAACUACUUUCUCCAGGAGUUGUCAGCUGACAUAUCUAAACAUGGAUAAUAAUGAGUUUGAAGGAUUGGUGCCCCCAUCUUUGGCGAACUGCAAGCACUUGAAAAUUCUUGAUAUUGGCAAUAAUAAAAUAGGUGGUACAUUCCCGUCAUGGCUUUAUGUACUUGGAGAGCUAGAAGUCCUUGUCUUGCGAUCAAAUAAACUCUAUGGUACAAUAAGUGGAAGGAGCAUAGAAGAUCCCUUCCCCAAGUUGCGGAUUGUGGAUCUGUCCGAUAAUCAAUUCACAGGCCAUUUGCCAAUUCAAUACUUUAAGAAUAUGAAAUCAACUGAUAAUAUGUAUAAUUAUCUGAAUUCCACAGGAGGAAUAUAUUUCACUUAUGAAGCAGCAGUCUCAUUAACAGUGAAGGGAACAGAGUAUGAAAUAGCAAAUAACCUUCAUAUUUACACAGCUAUUGAUCUGUCGUGCAACAAAUUUCAGGGUGAAAUUCCAAAAAUUAUUGGAGAGCUUAGAUGGCUUGCAUUGCUCAAUUUAUCGCACAAUAGUCUGACAGGACCUAUCCCAUCAUUGCUGAGAAAUAUGAAAGAACUCCAAUCUUUAGAUUUGUCCUCAAAUCAACUGACAGGGGCUAUUCCACCUCAGUUAACUGCGAUGACAUUUCUAGAGGUCUUAAACCUCUCGGGAAACCAUCUUAGUGGAGAGAUUCCUCAGAAAGGACAGUUCCGUCUUUGGCGAACUGCAAGCACUUGAAAAUUCUUGAUAUUGGCAAUAAUAAAAUAGGUGGUACAUUCCCGUCAUGGCUUUAUGUACUUGGAGAGCUAGAAGUCCUUGUCUUGCGAUCAAAUAAACUCUAUGGUACAAUAAGUGGAAGGAGCAUAGAAGAUCCCUUCCCCAAGUUGCGGAUUGUGGAUCUGUCCGAUAAUCAAUUCACAGGCCAUUUGCCAAUUCAAUACUUUAAGAAUAUGAAAUCAACUGAUAAUAUGUAUAAUUAUCUGAAUUCCACAGGAGGAAUAUAUUUCACUUAUGAAGCAGCAGUCUCAUUAACAGUGAAGGGAACAGAGUAUGAAAUAGCAAAUAACCUUCAUAUUUACACAGCUAUUGAUCUGUCGUGCAACAAAUUUCAGGGUGAAAUUCCAAAAAUUAUUGGAGAGCUUAGAUGGCUUGCAUUGCUCAAUUUAUCGCAUAAUAGUCUGACAGGACCUAUCCCAUCAUUGCUGAGAAAUAUGAAAGAACUCCAAUCUUUAGAUUUGUCCUCAAAUCAACUGACAGGGGCUAUUCCACCUCAGUUAACUGCAUUGACAUUUCUAGAGGUCUUAAACCUCUCGGGAAACCAUCUUAGUGGAGAGAUUCCUCAGAAAGGACAGUUCAGCACAUUCAAUAAUGAUUCUUAUCUAGGAAACUCCGCGUUAUGUGGAUUACCUUUGACGAAGAAAUGUGCAAACACGACAUCACCUCCACAAGAAGUCGGAAAUGGUGAUGAAGAUGAUGCUGGUGAUGAAUGGACAUGGGAAGCAAUCGUGAUGGGAUAUGGAUGUGGACUGAUAUGUGGAUUGUCAUCUGCGUACAUUGUUCUCAAACUAGGAAGGCCUUGGUGGUUUGUGAGAUAUGUCGAAGUAUUGCAACUGAAGUUGAUGAAAAGAUAUGCAUGAAGAAUGGUACUAUUGGUCGAUCAAGACGAACUUGAAAAAAGUUGUCCUGGUAGACAUUUCUGAACCAGUAGUAUACUAGCUGUAAGUAUUUGGUAUUAUGUAAUAAUCCGUUUGGUUGGGACUCAUAACGAUAUUUCUUGCUUCAGGGGUAUUAAUAUAAACCUUGGUAUUGUGUACUAGCUGUCUGUUUGGUCGUGACUCAUAAUCAUUUUUCUUGCUGGGUAUUAAUAUUAACCUUGUUAUCUUGAUCAAUGUUAAUGCAAAUUAAAAUGAAUGAAAAAACAAAAUAUAUGCAUCAAAUCCGCUGUUUGAAACAAUUUAAUAAUAAACUCGAGUUUUCCAGGACCGCACCAAAUCCACAUAUUCAAUAUCACACNNNNNNNNNNNNNNNNNNNNNNNNNNNNNNNNNNNNNNNNNNNNNNNNNNNNNNNNNNNNNNNNNNNNNNNNNNNNNNNNNNNNNNNNNNNNNNNNNNNNNNNNNNNNNNNNNNNNNNNNNNNNNNNNNNNNNNNNNNNNNNNNNNNNNNNNNNNNNNNNNNNNNNNNNNNNNNNNNNNNNNNNNNNNNNNNNNNNNNNNNNNNNNNNNNNNNNNNNNNNNNNNNNNNNNNNNNNNNNNNNNNNNNNNNNNNNNNNNNNNNNNNNNNNNNNNNNNNNNNNNNNNNNNNNNNNNNNNNNNNNNNNNNNNNNNNNNNNNNNNNNNNNNNNNNNNNNNNNNNNNNNNNNNNNNNNNNNNNNNNNNNNNNNNNNNNNNNNNNNNNNNNNNNNNNNNNNNNNNNNNNNNNNNNNNNNNNNNNNNNNNNNNNNNNNNNNNNNNNNNNNNNNNNNNNNNNNNNNNNNNNNNNNNNNNNNNNNNNNNNNNNNNNNNNNNNNNNNNNNNNNNNNNNNNNNNNNNNNNNNNNNNNNNNNNNNNNNNNNNNNNNNNNNNNNNNNNNNNNNNNNNNNNNNNNNNNNNNNNNNNNNNNNNNNNNNNNNNNNNNNNNNNNNNNNNNNNNNNNNNUACACCACAUUAAAUAAUAGUUCAAAAAUAUUCAAUAAAUAAUUGUUUUCAUUCAUAAUUUUGUUAUUUUAAAAACUAAUAAUUUCGUUGAUGUUAACCUAUAUUUUAAUAUAUAAUUAUAUUAUGUUCGUCUUAUUUUGUUUAACUAGAAAUAAUAUUUUUAUAAUAUUUAUUACAUUAAUUAGAUUAAAAGAUAUAUUUUAUUAAAAAAUUGAAUAAAAUUAAGAGGAUAACUGUAUGCCUCUCCAAGUCUACAAGACUCAUUUCAAGUCUACCGAGGACCACUGCCUCAACCUUUGAGUGAUGUGAAAGUAGCUUGAGAGUGACAUAAAUUAUUUUCCUGAUACUAAAAUUUACUAUUCAAUAUAAAUUAAUUAAAUUAGUUAAUAAUAAAUCAAAACUAAUCAUAAAUUAUGAUAAUAAUUAUAUAAAUUAUAAUUAAAUUAUAUAAAUCAACUCCAAAUGAUACAAAUAACACUAAACCUUAGUUAAUCUAUUGGUAAAUAAAUAUAAUAUAAUAAUCAAAUUGAUGAAAAAUCAAAAUCAUCUAAUAAAUUCACAAAAAUAUAUAAUCAUUUGUAUAUUAUAUUAGUAUCCACACACUUAUAUUUCAAAAUCUAUCCUCCAAAAUUAUCACUCCAUAAGCUAGCCACAUAAAAUAAAAAUUUAAAGAUAUGAGAUAUUUAGUUAUUUUCAUUAUAUAUAAUUUUUCCACACUAAAUAACAAAAUAUCUUUAUCAAUUUAUUUUUUAUGAGUUAAAUAUUCAAGUUAUAAAUCCAGCAUGCAGGUAUAAAUAGAAGUGUGCAGUAUGAUAUCAGAUUCAUAACCCAGUUGAUCAGGAGAAUCAUGGCAUACUCUGCAAAGACUUCUCACCUUCUUCUCUUUGUUUUCUUUCUCUCAUCACUUGAAUCCAUUCUUGCAACAACACGAGAGGGAGAAGCUCUUGUGAAAUGGAAGAAUAGCCUAGCCCCUUCUUCUUUUCUCGAUUCUUGGUCCCUCACCAAUCUCGAAAAUCUUUGUAACUGGACUGGCAUUACUUGUAACUCUGCAGGUUCAGUCUCUGAGAUUAACCUCUGUGAGAAACAACUUGAUGGAAUGCUGUCCGACUUCGGUUUCACUUCAUUUCCAAAUCUCAAGAAUCUCACCCUGGCAGACAACUUCUUCUCGGGUCCAAUACCACCAGCCAUUGAGAAUUUAACACAGCUUCAAUAUCUUGAUUUAAGCAUGAAUAGUCUCAAUGGUCCCAUUCCGUUCCAGGUUAGCCAUCUUCAGAGGUUGCUCAUAUUAAACCUGUCACAGAAUGCAUUGCAAGCUCCAAAUUGGUCCCAUUUCUCUCCCAUGCCUGUUUUGCGCUUCCUCAAGCUCAGUAGAAAUCCUCUUGUGUCGAAAUUCCCAAAUUUUAUAUCCAAUUCUCAUAGCCUGACUUAUCUCAACCUUUCACAUAACAAGUUUAGUGGUGAUCUUGUACGUGAAUCAGUAUUUACCAAUCUGCAUCAUCUUGAAGUCCUCAGUCUCGUUGACAAUUCUUUUGAGGGGCCAUUUCCGCCAAAUAUAUUCAAGCUUUCCAAAUUAAAACGUCUUGCCCUGUCAGGUAACAAAUUUUCAGGUCCAAUUCCCAAUGACAUAAGGUUGCUAUGUGAUCUUGAAUCCCUAUAUUUAGGCAACAAUUCCUUUGAAGGACCGCUUCCACCAAAUAUAUUCAAGCUUUCAAAAUUAAAACAUCUUGUUCUUUGGAGUAAUAAGUUUUCAGGUUCUGUUUCCAAUGAUAUAGGUUUGCUUUCUGAGCUUGAAAGCCUCGAUCUUAACUCUAAUUUUUUUAAGGGGCCGCUUCCGCCAAAUGUAUUCAAGCUCUCCAAACUAAGGUUUCUUUACCUCUGGGGUAAUAACUUUUCAGGUUCUGUUUCCAAUGAUAUAGGUUUGCUUUCUGAGCUUGAAACCCUCGAUCUUGAGUCUAAUUAUUUUGAGGGGCCGCUUCCGCCAAAUUUAUUCAAGCUCUCCAAACUAAAUUUUCUUUCCCUUCAGGAGAAUAACUUUUCAGGUUUUAUUUCCAAGGAUAUAGGUUUGCUUUUUGAACUUGAAACCCUCUAUCUUGGCUCUAAUUUUUUUGAGGGGCCGCUUCCCCCACAUGUAUUUAGGCUCUCCAAAUUAAGAGAUUUGGACCUCUCAGACAAUAGAAAUUUAUUUGAAGGAAGUAUUCCUAUUGGACUGGGACUCUUGACUAACCUCAGGUACUUAGAUCUAUAUUCCACUAAUCUCAGCGGCUAUAUUCCAUCUGACAUUGGAAACCUGAAGCUACUAGAAGUUCUUGUUAUCAGUUAUAAUCAAUUGAGUGGACAGCUUUCAAAGAUCAUUUCUAAUCUCACAAAUCUUAUAAUGCUUGAUGUAAGUGAUAAUAGUCUUAGUGGAAAUAUUCAGAGUGACUUGUGGAUACAUCCAACUUUGGAAUUCAUCGCUAUGGGUGGGAACCAUUUUACGGGUAUAGUUUUUCUCUAUAGAUCUUUUCCUUUUGUCUUAUUUAACUAAGCUAGUAAUCUGGUUAUUGCAGUUUUACCAAAGUUUCAACAAUCUUGACAGGUGAACUUCCAAACUGUUUGGGGAAUCUUGCUGAUGGAUUGCGUGUCAUUAAUCUUGCUAGUAAUCAGUUUCGAGGAACAGUACCAACUACUUUCUCCAGGAGUUGUCAGCUGACAUAUCUAAACAUGGAUAAUAAUGAGUUUGAAGGAUUGUUGCCCCCAUCUUUGGCGAAUUGUGAGCACUUGAAAAUUCUUGAUAUUGGCAAUAAUGAAAUAGGUGGUACAUUUCCGUCAUGGCUUUAUGCACUUGGAGAUCUAGAAGUCCUUGUCUUGAAAUCAAAUAAACUCUAUGGUACAAUAAGUGGAAGGAGCAGUGAAGAUCCCUUCCCCAAGUUGCGGAUUGUGGAUCUGUCCAACAAUCAAUUCACUGGUCAUUUGCCAAUUCAAUACUUUAAGAAUAUGAAAUCAACUGAUAAUUUGUAUAGCUAUCAGCAUUCCACAGGAGUUUUUUCUUUCCUUUAUGAAGCAGCAGUGUCGUUAACUUUGAAGGGAACAGAGUAUGAAGUAGCAAAGAACCUUCAUAUUUACACAGCCAUUGAUCUGUCGUGCAAUAAAUUUCAGGGAGAAAUUCCAAAGGUUACUGGAGAGCUUAGAUGGCUUGCAUUGCUCAAUUUAUCGCAUAAUAGUCUGACAGGACCUAUCCCAUCGUUGCUGAGAAAUAUGAAAGAACUCCAAUCUUUAGAUUUGUCCUCAAAUCAACUGACAGGGGUCAUUCCACCUCAGUUAACUGCAUUGACAUUUCUAGAGGUCUUAAACUUCUCGAAAAACCAUCUCAGUGGAGAGAUUCCUCAGAAAGGACAGUUCAGCACAUUCAAUAAUGAUUCUUAUCUUGGAAACUCUGCGUUAUGUGGAUCACCUUUGACGAAGAAAUGUGUAAACACUGUAUCACCUCCACAGGAAGUCGGAAAUGGUGAUGAAGAUGAUGCGGGUGAUGAAUUGACAUGGGAAGCAAUCGUGAUGGGAUAUGGAUGUGGACUGAUAUGUGGAUUGUCAUCUGCGUACAUUGUUCUCAAACUAGGAAGGCCUUGGUGGUUUGUGAGAUAUAUCGAAGUACUGCAACUGAAGUUGAUGAAAAGAUAUGCAUGAAGAAAGGUACUGGUCGAUCAAGACGAAUUUGAAAGUUGUUGUCCUUGUGGACAUUUCUGAACCUGUAGUGUACUAGCUGCAUAAGUAUUUGGUAUUAUGUAAUAAUCCGUUUGGUCGGGACUCAUAAUGAUUUCUCUUGCUUCAGGGGUAUUUAUAUUAACCUUGGUAUUGUGUCCUAGCUGUAAUAUACUGUUUGGUCGGGACUCAUAAUCAUAUUUCUUGCUGGGUAUUAAUAUUAACCUUGUUAUCUUGAUCUAUGUUAAUGCAAAUUAAAGUGAAUGAAAAAACAAAAAAAUAUGCAUCAAAUCCGCUGUUUGAAACAAUUCAAUAAUAAACUCGAGUUUUCCAGGACCAAAUCCACAUAUUCAAUAUCACACUCUUCCUGUGAGGAAACAAAUAUGGAGAAACAUUUCUGUUUACAAAACUUUUACCAUUAUACACUCUUAUAGUACUGGUUAAGAGUUCCUAAACUAAAAUUAUCAGUUCUAUGUGAGUAUGCUUUCAAAUAAGAAUUCGUUGUUCCGCCUAGUCCAAAACUACUCUAAAACUAUAUCGCUGGUAGUCUUUCAGUUCAUCCUACUGUAUGCAAUAGUUUCAUACAUAGGUAACUCGGCCUUGUGUGGACUUCCUUUGACAAAAAAGGGUUAAUAGGCUAAAACAUAAUCGAACUGACCCAAAACUUGCAACAAAUAGGAAGGCCUUGGUGGUUUGUGAGAUACAUCGAAGUGCUGCAACUUAAGUUGAUGUUAUGAAGAACUAAAAAUAUUGUUCCGUCAAGACCAACAACUUGAAAAUGUGUUCUGAAUCUGUAAUAAUAUUAAAAUAUUAUAAUAUAAUUCAUUUAACACUAUCAUCCGAUCAAUUUAAUUUAUUAUCAUUUAGUCAAUAUAUAUAGAUGGAUAUGAAUUGUCUUCCCUCGAACUUUGAGUUGUCAUAGUCCUUAAACAUAUUAAACACUUUGAAAAUUUGUUUCUGCAAGUCUAAAUUGUAGACAACACUUUCAAAGUUAGUUGCCGAAUAGACUCAUUUUGAAAAAAUUGGUUAGAUUCCGGAUAAAUUCAUUAAUCAGAAUUAAAUAUUUCAUGACCCUAACUCAAUCUGUUGUAAAUUGAUGUUGAGUUCAGGUAACACUGGCAGGUAUAAGGCAUAUAAAUAGCAGUCUCAUUAAUUGUGAAGGGAACAGAGUAUGAAGUAAGAAAUAACCUUCAUAUUUACACAGCCAUUGAUCUGUCGUGCAACAAAUGUCUGGGAGAAAUUCCAAAGGUUACUGGAGAGAGCUUAGAUGGCUUGCGAUUGCUCAAUUUAUCUCAUAAUAGUCUUUUUUUGAAAAAAGAAAAUAAUUCAAUAAUGAAAAAUCAUACUAAAUCCACAGAUAUAAUCGAAAUUGAACAAACGCAGAAUCAUAUCACCAUUGAAUCCUUCAGAGACGGCGGCUACUUCAAGGUGAGAGAAAUUUAGGGUUUUGCUUCUUAUCUCUAAAAUAGUUAAUUGAAGAGUCAUCUCAUAAUAGUCUUUGAAGUAUUACUAGGGAAAAUAUAUCUUCAUAAUGAAAAAUAAUUAUCAUUUUAAAAAAAAUUCACGAUAGAGGGGCCAUUUGGAUGAGUUUAAAUAAGUGCUUUUGGUAAAAUUUAAGUUCUUUAAUUUCCAAUUGUUUUAGAAGUUUAAUUAGUAAUUAAUAACAUGUGUACGGUUGGAGUUUUUUUGAGUCUAGCGGUGAUAGUUGUUUGAAAAACUGAUAUACAAGUCUAACAAAGUUUAAGUUAAAUAACUUUAAUUCAUAACUAUUUUGUUACCAAUCUACCAUUUCUUGUGUUUGGGUCUUUUUAAUAUAUGUUGCUACUUUAUGGGUAAUAUCUUUAUCUUCGAAGGAGUUUGUGUUUGUCACUUUGUCAUAACAAUGUCACUACCAUCUCUUUCAUUUUGUAAAAAUCUUAUAUAUAGUGAAUGAUAGCUUGAACUCCUUAUUUAUUUCAAUUAUGAAACAUGAUAUAGAUUUUAUAGAGUUAUUUUACAAAUUAAAUUGUUUGACUUCUUAGUAAAGGAUGUCAAUAAUGUUCAACCUAGUACGUAAUAUGUGUAAUCCGAAAUGAUAUUGUUGUCUGUUCUUUCUACUUUAUGGAUUAUAUCGCUGAUACCAGUAAUUUUAUGCUUCACUGCAUGAUGCAGCUCUCAUGUUAUUAACAGCUAAACUCGUGCCAACACUUUGCGAUGCAAAAUAGUGGCACAAAAGUAUUUUCAUAUGUGUAUUUAUUCGGAAAAUACGUGUAUUUAUUCGGAUAUUAAAGUUAGUAUGGACAUUUGUGUUGAUAAUUUGAGCCCUCUUCUCUUCCAAGUCUUGGGCGGACUCUUUCCAAGUCUCCUGAGGACCCAUAGGCUCAAAUUAGUCCAUUAAAAUUUAUGAUCUGAAAGCUCUCUGCGCACUAAUUUCUCCGCCAAACGAAAAAUCAACAUUUCAUGUACUAACUAUUUCCAUAAUAAUUAACAAGUAUAAAUCAUAUAUAUUUUUCCAUAGAACAUAAAUAGAUGGGGUACUAACAAAACCUCUAGUCAAAUUAAUUAAUACCGUUAUGAUUUCGCAAACACAGCAGACAGCAGGCGUAAGGCUAGCUUAUAAAUAGAAGUGUAGUAUUGGGUUGAUGGUCAAGUUGAGUGGAAGUAUGGCACACUUUGUAAAGCCUUGUUAUCCUCUUCUCUUUGUUUUCUUUCUCUCAUUACUUCAAUCCAUUCUAACAACACAAGAGGGAGAAGCUCUUUUGAAAUGGAAGAAUAGCCUAGCCCCUUCUUCUUUUCUCGACUCUUGGUCCCUCACCAAUCUCGAUAAUCUUUGUAACUGGACUGGCAUUACCUGUAACUCUGCAGGUUCAGUCUCUAAGAUUAACCUUUUUGAGAAACAACUUGAUGGAAUGUUGUCCGAGUUUGGUUACACUUCAUUUCCAAAUCUCAACAAUCUCACCCUCGCAUACAACUUCUUCUCGGGUCCAAUACCACCAGCCAUUGAGAAUUUAACACAGCUUCAGUAUCUGGAUUUUAGCAAUAAUUAUCUAGAUGGUCCCAUUCCGUUCCAGGUUAGUCAUCUUCAGAGCUUGCUCAUCUUAAACCUGUCACAAAAUGCAUUGCAAGCUCCAAAUUGGUCCCAUUUCUCUCCCAUGCCUUUUUUGCGCAUCCUCAACCUCAGUCACAAUCCUCUUUCGUCGAAAUUCCCAAAUUUUAUAUCCAAUUCUCAUAGCCUGACUCACCUUAGCCUUAAUUAUAACGAGUUUACUGGUGAUUUAGUAAGUGAAUCAAUAUUUGCCAAUCUGCAUAAUCUUCAAGUCCUCAGUCUUGUUGGCAAUUCUUUUGAGGGGUCAUUUCCGCCAGAUAUAUUCAAGCUUUCCAAAUUAAAACAUCUUAGCCUGUCACGUAACAAAUUCUCAGGUUCAAUUCCCAAUGACAUAAGGUUGCUUUGUGAUCUUGAAUACCUAUAUUUAGGCAACAAUUCCUUUGAAGGACCGCUUCCACCAAAUAUAUUCAAGCUUUCAAAAUUAAAACAUCUUUUUCUUUGGGGUAAUAAGUUUUCAGGUUCUGUUUCCAAUGAUAUAGGUUUGCUUUCUGAGCUUGAAACCCUCGAUCUUCGCUCUAAUUUUUUUGAGGGGACACUUCCGCCAAAUUUAUUCAAGCUCUCCAAACUAAAGAUUCUUUCCCUUUAUGAGAACAACUUUUCAGGUUUUAUUUCUAAGGAUAUAGGUUUGCUUUCUGAGCUUGAAAGCCUCGAUCUUGGCUCUAAUUUUUUUGAGGGGCCGCUUCCCCCACAUAUAUUUAGGCUCUCCAAAUUAAGAGAUCUGGGUCUCUCAGACAAUAGAAAUUUAUUUGAAGGAAGUAUUCCUAUUGGACUGGGACUCUUGACUAACCUCAUGUUCUUAGAUCUAUAUUCCAGUAAUCUCAGUGGCUAUAUUCCAUCUGAAAUUGGAAACCUGAAGCUACUAGUACUUCUUGAUCUCCGUUCUAAUCAAUUUACUGGACCGCUUUCAAAGAUCAUUUCUAAUCUCACAAAUCUUAUAUUUCUUGAUGUAAGUUAUAAUAGUCUUAGUGGAAAUAUUCAGAGUGACUUGUGGAUAUAUAACGAUCAUCCAACUUUGGAAUUCAUCAAUUUAGGUGGGAACCAUUUUACAGGUAUGUUUUCUCUAUAUAUCUUUUCCUUUGGUCAUAUUAACUAAGCUUGUAACCAAAGUUUCAACAAUCUUGACAGGUGAGCUUCCAACAACAAUUUGCAAUGUCACUUCCCUUUCGGUUCUUGAUUUGUCAAAUAAUGAAUUAAGUGGUGCACUUCCAAACUGUUUGGGGAAUCUUGCUGAUGGAUUGCUUUUCAUUAAUCUUGCUAAUAAUCAGUUUCGAGGAACAGUACCAACUACUUUCUCCAGGAGUUGUCAGCUGACAUAUCUAAACAUGGAUAAUAAUGAGUUUGAAGGAUUGUUGCCCCCGUCUUUGGAAAACUGUAAGCACUUGAGAAUUCUUGAUAUGGGCAACAAUAAAAUAGGUGGUACAUUUCCGUCAUGGCUUUAUGUACUUGGAGAGCUAGAAGUCCUUGUCUUGCGAUCAAAUAAACUCUAUGGUACAAUAAGUGCAAGGAGCAUAGAAGAUCCCUUCCCCAAGUUGCGGAUUGUGGAUCUAUCCAAUAAUCAAUUCACGGGCCAUUUGCCAAUUCAAUACUUUAAGAAUAUGAAAUCAACUGAUAAUUUGUAUAGUUAUGAGAAUGACAGAGGAAUAUAUUAUGCAUAUGAUGAAGCAGCAGUCCCAUUAACUGUGAAGGGAACAGAGUAUGAAGUAAGAAAUAAUCUUCAUAUUUACACAAUCAUUGAUCUGUCCUGCAACAAAUUUCUGGGAGAAAUUCCAAAGGUUACUGGAGAGCUUAUAUGGCUUGCAUUGCUCAACUUAUCUCAUAAUAGUCUAACAGGACCUAUCCCAUCAUUGCUGAGAAAUAUGAAAGAACUCCAAUCUUUAGAUUUGUCUUCAAAUCAACUGACAGGGGCUAUUCCACCUCAGUUAACUGCAUUGACAUAUCUAGAGGUCUUGAACCUCUCGGGAAACCAUCUUAGUGGAGAGAUUCCUCAGAAAGGACAGUUCAGCACAUUCAACAAUGAUUCUUAUCUAGGAAACUCCGCGUUAUGUGGAUCACCAUUGACGAAGAAAUGUGCAAACACAGCAUCACCUCCACAAGAAGUCGGAAAUGUUGAUGAAGAUGAUGCGGGUGAUGAAUUGACAUGGGAAGCAAUCUUGAUGGGAUAUGGAUGUGGACUAAUAUGUGGAUUGUCAUCCGCGUACAUUGUUCUCAAACUAGGAAAGCCUUGGUGGUUUGUGAGAUAUAUCGAAGUGCUGCAACUGAAGUUGAUGAAAAGAUAUGCAUGAAGAAUGGUACUGGCCAAUCAAGACCAACUUGAAAGUUGUUGGACAUUUCUGAACCAGUAGUGUACUAUUCUCUUUGUGGCUGCAUAAGUUUUUGGUAUUGUGUAAUAUUCUGUUUGGUCUUGAAUUUCAGGGGUAUUAAUAUAAACCUUGGUAUUGUGUAAUAUUCUGUUUGAUCAAUGUUUAUAUCAAUAAUUUUAUGCUACUCACGUACUGCAUCAUGCAGCUCUCAUAUUAUCUUCAUAUGUGUAUUAUUUGGAUAUCAAAGUUGCAGGGACAUAUGGAUAUGUGUUAACAGGGACCGCUCCCAAGUAGGGGUGAGCAAAAUCGAACCGGAACCGAAAAAUCGAACCGAACUGCGUAAAUUCAGUUCGGUUCGGUCCUAAUUUUCUGAAAAUUCGAUCCAUUCGGUCAGGACCGAAUACACCGAAAUAAAGUUCGGUCCGGUUCGAUCCGUAAAAAAAUAUUUCGGUCCGGACCGAAUAGACCGAACAGUCCAAAAUAUAUAUAAUUUAUAUUUAUAUUUAUAUUAUAUAUAUCUUAAAUGUUAUAAUUAUAAUAUCUAAUUUGUAAAUUUAAUUAUGAAAAAUGAUAUAAAAUUAUGUGUUAUAUCUUAUAUAUAUAUAUAGAGGGUUACUCCAGUGAGAACUUCUUAAAAUGAGAACCGUGAGAACUUCUUUAAUUUAUCAUAUUUUGAUUAAUCUAAACAUCAAACUAGUGGGUAUCCAAUAUAAAAAGUGUAUAUAAAACUAGUCUCUCCCUAACUAGUCAAAAAAAAAAUUCAAAAAAAAAUUUUAAAAAAAGAAAGUCCACUGCCACGUCAUCAGUGAUUUUUUUUAUUUUUUUUUUAAUUUUUUUUUUCGGCUAGCUAGGUGGAGAUCUUAAUUAUAUACAUUUUUUGUGAAGGUGCCCCUGGCGGGGCCCUUCAUAUAUGUACUUUUCAUAAAUUAUAAAUUAUUGUUUUAAAUAUAUCGAAAUGAUUUCUAUAGAAAUUUAAAUUGUAUGUUUAAAUAAUUUUUUUGAGUGACUUAUGAGUUAUAAAAAGGAUGAUAAUAAAAAUAAAUUUGAUAUGUUAUUUAUACGAGUAAUGAAAUUGAUUUUUGUUAAAAUUUAUAAUGAUGGAAUAAGUUAUUCAGAAAAAUAAAUCUUAUUUAUUUAGAGAUGACAUAUUUUAAUUUUAGAUCAAUUUUUUUCUCACUAAAAAAUUAUUUUAAAAUCAAAAAUAAAUUAAAUGUCUUCGCAUUUAUGCAAACAUGCUCUAAAUUAUGCGCAAUAUUAGCAAUCAGUGACUGAUACACGUGCUGAACCUUCCGAAGAUUUCUGGUCAAAAAUAUCCGUGACCCUUUGAGGAAUACAGGAAUAAUCACACAGCUGGCUUACCAUCUGCACCCAAUUAAUACGGACAACAGUACAUUUAUUAGACUAGAUUUUCAAAAUUUUCAAUAAUAGUAUUAUAUUAUUAUCGGUUUUUCUAGUGAAUGCUCAUGGGCACACACUAAACACCAAAUUUUAUAAAUUUGGUGGUUUUUGAUUGACUCAUGCUUGUUUAUAAUGGUAGAGCCUCCUCAAAUUCACCGACCACACCAAUUAAAAUCCACCAAAAUUAUAGAAUUUGGUACUUAGCAUGUGCUCAUGGCACACACUACAUAAACCCUAUUAUUAUACCUAUUUGAAUUUUUAAAUGAGGGCAUAUAGAAUUUAGAUAUUUAUUUAAAAUUUGUAGUUCGAUUUAGGACCUUAAAUGAAUAUAUUUGAAAUCUCCAAACUUGUAUUAAUAUUUACUUGUGUUUGACUAUAAUAAAAGUUUAUAUUAUAUAUAUAUUAGAUACCUAACACUCCAUGGCAUACGCUCUUAUAUGAAGUUUCAUAGUAUAUCACUGUGCAUAAUAUAUCUAUUAUAUUUUUUAUGAAAUAGAAUUACAAAUUUUUAUUAUUAAAUCGAAAACGAAGUUAUAUAAUUUUUUUAUUCCAAAAGUCAUAUAAAAUUAUCUCAACAUGAUUUUAUAACAGAAUAAUAAUCAUCCAGAAUUAUUUUAAUGUGGAAUCAAUACGUAAAUAAACUUUUUUCUUCAAAUUUUAAGUGUUAAAUUACUUAUAAUAGAUAUAUGUUAUAGUAUUAUAUAUUAGAAUCAUGUUUUAUAUGUAUUCUAUAAUAGAAUUUGUACUAAAUUUGAUGAUUUAUAAUGGUGUACUAUGUAAAUCCAUAUAAUAACUACCUCCGUCCAAUGUUAACCUAUAUACAUAUAUAGGAAUAGGAUCAAAUAAUAUUUUUAAGUUACAAAGUUACAAACUUUUUUUUUGAAUUUUUUUAUUCUCCUAUCGUGUUUAAUCCUUAGUUAUAGAAGUAUCCAUGUUGAAAAUUAUUGAAAAAAUCACAAUUUUUAAAAAUAACGCAUAAAUAAAUCGUGCAUUUAACACAUCUAUAACUGUGGUUCAACAUCGGGUGUAGAACACUAAUUAUCAUUGUAUUGAAUAUAACCAUAAAUAUAUUUAAACUAUGUCUUUGGAGUUUGGGUAGGGUCUAGAAAUAUAAAUAUUAGUUAUAUAAUACGUUUAACUUAGUUCUUAUACUGAAAAAUUAGUUUUUGUAUUUCUCCAACACAAUCGAUGUUUAACAAAAUAUGUUAAAAAAUGUUGAACUCAAAUUAUAUAUAUGAUGAACGCAUAAAAUUUGUAAGUUUGUAAGACUCUUCAAUUAUUUAGGUUUUGGUUGCAUAGGAAGAUAGAAUGAGAAAAGGUUUCACAUUCAAUAUUUUAAAUAACGGUUUUUCUCGUGAGUGCCCAUGAGCACAUGUUAAGCACUGAGAUUCAUAAGUUUGGGUGAUUUUGAUUGGCUACUACUUCUUUAUAAUGGUGGAUCCCCCUACAAAUUCACCAACCACACCAAUCAAAAUCUACCAAACUUAUAAAAUUUGGUGUUUAAGAUGACGUUUGAAUGAGUUUAAAAUUAUGACUUUAUUUAAGAUGAUUUAGGAAACGUUUGAGUGAGGUUAAAAUAAGUGUUUCUUGAUUAAGGUAAAAAAAUGAAAUAGAAGUUAAAAACAAGUUAAGACUUAUAAGUGAUUAAAGUGUUUAGAAAAGAGGUAAAAGCUAGAAUUUGUAACUUUUAAAAAGUGUUUUUGUAUUUUUACACAAACAGGUCAAGAAAAACAGAAGCAAGACUUCUUAGAACGAAAGCACUUCUUUUGCUUGGCCAAACAAGCACUUAAUAUAAUAAUAUGUAAGUUAAAACUAAUUUGUGAUUAAAAAAAAAUAAAACAAUCUGCGAGUUAAAACUGACUGAUUGAAAAUUUUUGACUUAUUAAUAAUUUAUGAGUUGUUAAAAAUAUAAUAAUGAAAAUAAAAGUGAUUUAUGGAUAAUUUAUAACUUAUGAGUAACUGCUAUUAAAAAAAUUAAUUUUCAAAAUUUGUUGACAUAUUUGAUAAUUUUCUAUCAGUUAUGUUUUGUACUUAAUUCUGUUUUUAGAAAUAACAAUUUCAUGAAAACGACCAAUCAGACAGGCACUUGCCAAACUUCUGGUGACCAUAAUUCUUAUCUUAUCAUAUAGUAGUAUUUUAAAAUUAUUCGGAAAUAGAUAAAUUUAAUUGUUUGUAGUUGACAGGAAUAACACAGUUCAAGUCGCAUCAAAGAAAGAAAAGAAUUAAAUGCAUUUCAUUUCGAAUCACUUGUCGGCAUUCUUUUCUUCUGGUAUGCAAAUAAUUUAAUUUACUUUUCACAAAUAAAUAUAAAAACAAAUGCGCACCUACUUAUUAGCGGCCUGCACUGUAGAGUUCAACCGUACUGCAAAGUGGUCCAAGUUUGUUUGUUUAAAUCGUAAAUAUGUUAAAAUUAUGGGGCCAAACUGGUCUAGUCACUUAAUAAAUUAAAAUUAAAAUUUUAAAAAUAAAUAAAAUUUAUGAAUUUCGAUACUAUAAGUACUAAUUCAGUUUUAAUAUAAAAUAAAUUGUAAAAUUAACGUAUCAAGAUUUAAUUAUUUUCUUUCUCAAGAUAUUUGGUAAAAUCUUGGAUUCAUGUUUUCACCGAAAAAGCUCCGCUGAAAAGUACGGUUACAAUAUGAAUAUAUCUCGAUAUUUUAAACUUCAUUUCACUUAAUCUAAAAAUAAUAAUUAUAAGAAAAUUUAAUUAUUGAAUCCUUAACACAAAGUUUAACUACCGAAAAAAAGGCUUAUUAUAAAGGCGUUCUAUUUGGGAGGAAUCUUGUCAUUUUAAAGGCCCAACGCAAUAACCGUAACCAGGCCUUAACUAAGCCCAGUUGUAAUACCUUUAUAUUCUUAGUAGCAAGCAGUGUUGUAAAAAGCGGGAAUCGGACAUCGGUGAAGUUACGGAACAAGGAUUAAUCGAGGAUUAAUUGAAUUGAUCAGGGAUUAAUCGGAUUGAUCGGUGAUUAAUCGGAGAUUUAAUCAGUUCGGCGAGCUACGAAACAAGGAUUAAUCAGUGAUUAAUCGUGAUUAAUCACCGAAUUUUGGAACAGAGGUAGCAAGUAGCAAAUACUUGGCGGGUUUUGAAAUAUUAGUUUUAUUAAAAAAUUAUACUAAAAAAACCCUAUAAACAAUUGAGAUACCACCACGGAAACAACCCAUUGGUCAAAGGCCACCGGUCCACCAGUCCGGAGAUCUUCUUCCAACUGUGUUUAACCAAACAAACCAAUGCUUAAUUAAAUGCCGUUCACACGUUAAUAAAUUAUUAUGAUGCUGAGUCUAUGAUAUUACUGGCAUGAAAACACAGUUUCGUUUUAGAUAAUAUGAGUAUGAUAAUAUUUAUAUAUUGUGUGUGAUCAUAUUCUUUAAAGUAUGAAUUCUAUUUUUUUAAUUCUUUAAUAAAAUAUGUGGAUAUGAAAUGUAAUAUUUGUAACCUAAUUAACAUUAAAUAAUAAUAAAAUAUUGAUAAAUAAAAUAACAAUAAAUUUAAUACUAAUAUCAAAAUCAAUCCAGUUAUUGUACAUAUUACAAGAAUAAAACUUUUUAACUCCAUCAUCAAAAUACAUAAUAAUAAUGUGUAUUUAAAUAUUUAUUGUUAAAUAUAAUCAGUAUUGAACAGAUUAUCUAUAAACAAAUAAAAAAAAUUAAGGUUACAUUAGUUUUAAAUUUUAGAUUUUGAAUAUAAUAGUAAGUCAAUUGUCACAUUUCUAAAUUACACAUAUAAUAGAGCAUAACAGUUAAACAAACUUAUUAUUCUACUAUUUGAUCAAUGGUCAAUUGACCAACUAACUGGAAUAACUAUAGUAAUAAUAAUUGAAUUAUUAGAUUUCAGUCAAUGUACUUAUAAUCUUAUGUUAAGUUGUUUCAUACAGUCGGUUGUUUUAAUAACUAGAUUUGCUAAGAAAACAGAUCAAAGGGGAGCUGUAUGAUUAAGGUCAACUAAUCCAAAUGAUUAAACAUCAUUUCCGGUCUAUAACUUGUCUAAUCCUUAAGACCAAAUCUGGCUUUGAGUUUGUGUAGAUAGACUCUGAAGUUCCUGCAAGAAAUCUGAGAAAUCUGGUCAUGCUGACCCAAGAUUUUCAUUUACGUCAUAUUAAAAACUUUUUAAUAUUCUUAAAUUAUUCUCCUAUAAACAGUGUUGUAAAAAGCGGGAAUCGGACUUAAUCGGUAAAGUCACGGAACAAGGAUUAAUCGGGGAUUAAUUGAAUUGAUCGGUGAUUAAUCGGAGAUUUAAUCAGUUCGGCGAACUACGCAACAGAGAUUAAUCGGUGAUUAAUCGUGAUUAAUCAGCGAUUUUUAGAACAGAGCCUAUAAACAGAAGUGUGCAUUGUAGUUUAAACGCAGUAUCUAGCAUCAAUUUUCAUGUUAAGUGCAAGCAUGACAUACUUUAAAAACCCCUGUUAUCACCUUCUAUCUGUUGUAUUUUUUCUCCUGCUAUUUCCAUCGAUCCCCGCGACAAGAGAAGAAGGAGAAGCUCUAGUGAACUGGAAGAACAGCCUAUCCCCGUCCUCGUUCUUCGAAUCUUGGUCCUCAGCCAAUCUCAACAAUCUUUGUAACUGGACUGGCAUUACCUGCAACUCCGAGGCCUCAGUAUCUGAAAUCAACCUUUCGGAAAAACAACUCCAAGGAACGCUUGCUGAGUUCCGCUUCAAUUUGUUACCAAGUCUAAAAACUUUUACCAUCAGCCGUAACAACUUCACUGGUCCAAUUCCAUCAGAUAUUGGAAAUUCAACUGAGCUUCAAUACGUCGAUUUUAGCUUUAAUUUUCUCAAUGGUUCUAUACCAUAUCAGGUUAGUCAUCUUCAGAGGUUGCGCGCCUUAGACCUGUCAUAUAAUCUCCUGGAAUCUCCAAAUUGGUCCGAGUUUUCGCCCAUUCCUUCCUUGACUAAACUUUAUCUCAGAUCAAAUAAUCUUGCCUCCAAAUUUCCAGGAUUUAUAUCCAGUUGUCAGAGCCUGACAUAUCUUGAUCUUUCACAUAACUUCAUAACAGGCGAUCUCGCGCAAGAAUCAUUAUUUGACAAACUGAUACAUCUUGAAUCCUUCUCUAUUCGUAAUAAUUCUAUUGAGGGGCCGUUUCCACCAAGUAUAUUUCCUCUUUCCAAAUUACGAUUUCUUGACCUAUCAAGAAAUAACUUUUCAGGUUCUAUUCCCCGGAAUAUAGGAUUGCUUCGUGAUCUUGAAUAUCUCAGCUUAUUUUUUAAUUCAUUCGAAGGAAGCAUACCUUCAUCUAUUGGUCUACUUAGGAAGCUUCAAUUACUAGAUAUCGGAUAUAAUUAUUUAAAUUCCUGUAUUCCUCGUGAAAUCGGGCUUUUGACUAAUCUCAGCGAAUUAUAUCUCAAUGUCAAUAGUCUUACUGGCAAAAUUCCUUCUGAGCUCGGCCUCUUGACUAAGCUCAACUAUAUAAUUCUUUUUUCCAAUAAUCUGACCGGAGAUAUUCCAUCUGAAAUCGGAAACCUGAAGCUACUGACUCGGCUUCUCCUCGGGUCUAAUCAUUUGACUGGAUCGGUUGCAAACUCCAUUUCUAAUCUCAGUAAUCUAGAGUUUCUUGGUCUACCUAAUAACAGAUUUUCUGGAAAUAUUCCUAGUGACUUCUGGAAAAAAUAUAAAUCGUUAUUAUACAUCGACUCCAGGAACAACAAUUUGUCAGGAAGCAUUCAGGGAUUUGAUGCUAAUCUGAAUCUUACUUUCAUUAAUCUGAGCGGAAACCAUCUUACAGGUAUACUUUUUCACCUUAUUUUACUCCCUCCACUUUGAAAUAUACUUCGUUUGACUUUUUGGCACACGUUUCCAAGUCCUUUGACCUUAUUAUUAAGAUAAUUAUUUUUAAAGUAUUAUAUUUUUGAAUUAUUAUAUGGUCGUGUCAAAAAAUCAAACUACAUGUAUUUCAAAACAGAGGGAGUACUUUAUUUGAACGCUAAUGAAUCGGUUAGAAAUUGACUAAAGUUUCUACAUUUUAACAGGUGAGAUUCCUGCAACUAUUUGCAAUGUCACAUCCCUUGAGAUUCUUGAUCUCUCGGACAAUGGAUUAAGCGGUGCACUUCCACGUUGUCUGGGAAAGCUUGCUGAUAAUCUGCAUACCAUGGUUCUUGGUAAUAAUCAGCUUCAAGGGACAAUACCAGCAACCUUCACCAAGAGCUGUCACCUAGCAGUUUUAAACACGGAAAGCAAUCACUUUGAAGGAACGCUGCCCCAAGCUUUAUCAAACUGCAAGGACUUAAAAAUUCUUAAUAUGGGAAACAACCACAUUGGAGGUAUAUUUCCGUCAUGGCUAAGUACUCUUGCACAGCUAGAAGUCCUUGUCUUUCGAUCAAAUAGACUUCACGGUGAAGUAAGUAUAGGUAAUACAACACGUCCCUUCCUUAAGUUGCGAAUUGUGGAUCUCUCUAACAAUGAAUUCACUGGCCAUUUGCCUAUUCAGUAUUUUUAUAAUAUGAGGCCGAGUAAUAAGGGAUAUGAUUAUGUCAUUACAAAAGAGAAUUUCGAGUACUUUUACCAAGCAUCAGUCUCACUAAGUGUAAAAGGGACAGAGUAUGAAGUGAAACAAAUCCUUUAUAUUUACACAGCCAUUGAUCUGUCGCGCAACAAAUUUCAAGGGGAAAUUCCAGAGGUCACUGGAGAGCUUAGAUCGCUUGCGUUGCUAAAUCUAUCUCAUAAUAGUCUUACAGGGCCUAUCCCGUCAUUGUUGGGGAAUAUGGAAGCACUCCAGUCUUUAGAUUUGUCAUCAAACCAAUUGACAGGUGCUAUACCUGAGCAGUUAACUACUUUGACAUUUAUUGGGGCCUUGAACCUUUCAGAAAACCAUCUUACUGGAGAAAUCCCUCAAAAAGGACAGUUCAGUACUUUUGGCAACGAUUCAUACUUGGGUAACCCGGCCUUAUGCGGACUUCCUUUAACAAAGAAAUGUAGGCACACGUUGCCACCAACACAAGAAAUCCUAAAUGGUGAUGAAGAUGAUGCUAAUGAUGAACUCAGUUGGGAGGUGAUCCUGAUAGGGUAUGCAUGUGGAUUGAUAUGCGGAUUAUCUUUUGGGUACAUUGUUUUCACCAUGGGAAAGCCUUGGUGGUUUGUGAGAUACGUCGAAGAACUGCAACAGAAGUUGAUGAGGACACACAUGAAGAAAAUUAUUCGAUCAAGAAGCACAACUUGAUAAAAUGUUGUCUUGGGAUAACCUGAUUUCUGAAUUAGUAGACUAUUAUGCACAUAUAUGUAGUUCAUUAUUAUAUUAUUUUAUGCCAAUUGCAGAGUAGUCUGGUUCUCAUAACAAAUUUAGUCUUGUUUCACUGUUUAUUAAAACUACAUGCCAUGUUUCUGUAGGAGUGAAUACAAUUAUGUUAACUUAAGCAUGACAGGCAGGAACCGAUCUGCAGAAAUGACGUUAAUUGAUACAAUUGGAACCUGCAAGUUAUAUGCAGAAAGCACGCGGUGCCUCCCAAAUUCCAGAGACCUACAACUUCACAUAAAUGUCGUUCACAGCACUUAAUGAUCACUUGUUUGUAGUAACUAACACGUCUUCCGUCUACAAUGUAAAUGAUAGUGGAAGGUACUGAUUUCCACUUUCUUAGCAACACACUAACAACAGUGACGGAUCUAGAACUUUGAAAUUUCAUUGUUUUUUUUGGUUGAACAAGUAACUUACUAGAAUUUAAUUUAAUCAUAGCUACCAUAUGAAAAUCAAUAAUAUUGUUGACUCCUCUGCUUAACUAUGACUCCUGUGCAUGCCAAUCUCCAAAUACACAAAAAUGUUAUUUACUAAGAGAAGUUUGUUGAUAGCUAAAGGAUAUAGUCUCCGGGAAAAAAAUCCACUGACCAACUUAAUACACAGCUCAGCAGUUUAUGAGCAAGGGUCUGAGUCUUGGCUACCUGGAAAUGAAUUGAAAAAAUAGAAGUUAAUGCAUAGUUUUCUUGAAGUGUGAAGACUUGUUUUGUGAGUUGGUCCUCCAUAUUAGAAAUUAAAGUUUUUUUCAACAAAAAUCCGGUGGAACAUAUCAUUUUCCACUAUACCUUUUAUUUUCAGUUUCUUGCCAUCGAAGAGCACUAAUUCCAUCGGCAGUGAUUUGGAAGAACAGGUCUCUUGCCACUCCAAUUCCUAAGAAAAUUUAGCACAUAAAUAGAAGUGUGCCUUGCACUAUGAGAUGUACAAUGUGACAGGAAACAUGUUGCACUUCCCAAAGCCUAAUUAUCACCUCAUUGUGCUUGUUUUCUUUCUACUAUUGCUUCCAUCUACCCUCACAACAGUAUCUACGACAAGAGAAGGAGAAGCUCUGUUAAAAUGGAAGAACAGUCUACCACCAUCCUCUUCCCUAAAUUCUUGGUCACCCGUCAAUCUCAAUAAUUUGUGUAACUGGACUGGCAUUAUCUGUAACUCUGCAGGUUCAGUCUCAGAAAUAAACCUUUCACUAAAACAACUUAGUGGAACGCUUGCCAAUUUCAGUUUCACUUCAUUUCCAAAUCUUAAUAGUCUUGACAUUAGUGGCAACAACUUCACAGGUCCAAUACUACCUGCCAUUGAAAAGUUCACGCAGCUUCAGCAUCUUGAUUUUAGCUUUAACAAGCUCAAUGGUAUCAUUCCAAACCAAAUUUGGCAUCUUCAGAGAUUGCGCACCUUAGACCUGUCAGUUAAUCACUUGGAAGCUUCAGACUGGUCUAGUUCUUUCUCCAUGCCUUUUCUGACCAACCUCGACCUUAGUUUCAAUAAACUUGGGGCAAAAUUCCCAGGCGUUACAUCCAAUUUUUGUAACCUAACAUAUCAAUUAUUUCCUGAGUCAUUAGUUAACAAUCUGCAUAAUCUGGAAGUCCUUUCUCUUCAUCACAAUUCUCUCGAUGGGCCAUUUCCACCAAGCAUAUUCAAGCUUUCCAAAUUAAGAUAUCUCUCCCUAUCAAGUAAUCAUUUUUCAGGUUCUAUUCCGGAUGAUAUAGGGAUGCUUGGUGAUCUUGAAUCCCUUUAUCUGGGUCACAAUUCUUUUGAGGGGCCCUUCCCACCAAUUUUUUUCAAAUUUUCCAAACUAAUAAAUCUGUCCUUAUCAGGGAAUAUUUUUUCAGGUUCUGUUCCAGGUGAUAUAAGGAUGCUUAGUGAUCUGGAAUACCUUGAUCUUAGUCGGAAUUUUUUUGAGGGGCCUUUUCCACCAAAUAUAUUCAAGCUUUCCAAAUUAAAAGUUCUUGACCUAUCAAGAAACAAUUUUUCAGGUUCUAUUUCAGAUGAUAUACGGAUGCUUCAUAGACUUGAGUUGCUCCAUCUCGAGUACAACUCUUUUCAGGGACCCUUUCCACCAAAUAUAUUGAAGCUUCCGAAUUUAAGAGUACUUGACCUAGCAGACAAUGACUUUUCAGGUUUUAUUCCCAGUGAUGUAAACAUGCUUCAUGAUCUGAAAAUACUUUCAUUGUUUUCUAAUUCAUUUGAAGGAAGUAUUCCUUCUUCUAUAAGUCUACUCAGGGAGCUACGAUACCUUCACCUCGGGUCUAAUUAUCUCAAUUCCACUAUUCCUUUUGAGCUGGGGCUCUUGACAAACCUUGACCGAUUAUAUCUUGAUUCCAAUAAUCUUACUGGCAAUAUCCCACCUGACAUAGGAAACUUGAAACUACUGAGAGUACCAAGUCUUGAUUCUAAUCAACUCACUGGACCGCUUCCAAAGACCAUUUCUAAUCUCACUAAACUAGGGUUUCUUAACCUGAAAGAUAAUAAGUUUUCCGGCAAUAUCCCAAGUGACUUCUGGAAAACUUCUACAUCCUUAUAUUCCAUUGAUUUUUCCGACAACAACUUGUCUGGAAACAUUCCCAAGGAAUUUGAUGUUCACCCAAUUUUGGAAUGCAUCAAUUUAAGUGGAAACCAUUUUACAGGUCUGUUCUUUUCCUUAUUUUUCCUUUUUGUCUACAACUAUGCAGGUAAUCAGAUUAGUGAAUAUUGACUGAAGCUCCUCUGUUUAUACCAGGUAUGAUUCCCACAACAAUUUGCAACGCCACAUCCCUUCGGGUUCUUGUUCUGUCAAAUAAUGGAUUAAGUGGCACACUUCCAAAUUGUUUGCGAAAUCUUGCUGAUAAACUGCUUUCUAUUGAUCUUGGUAAUAAUCAAUUUCAAGGAAGAAUGCCAACCUUCUCCGAGGGAUGUCAGCUGACAUAUCUGAACAUGUACAACAAUUACUUUGACGGAGUGUUGCCUCAAUCUUUUGCUAACUGCAAGCAGUUAAAAGUUCUUGAUAUAGAAAACAACAAAAUAAGUGGUACAUUUCCCUCAUGGCUAUUUACUCUUGCAGAGCUAGAACUCCUUGUCUUGCGGUCGAAUAGACUUUAUGGUACAGUAAGUUUAAGAAGCACAACAGAUCCCUUUCCCAAGUUGCGCAUCAUGGAUCUCUCAAACAAUGACUUCACAGGCUAUUUGCCAAUUCAAUAUUUCAAAAAUAUGAAGCCGGUUGAUAAGGGGUAUGAUUAUCAUAAUUUCACAGCACCAUUUUAUUACUACUAUCAAGCAUCUAUCUCGUUAACUGUGAAAGGGACUGAGUACCAAGUGAGCAAGAUUCUUCAUAUUUACACAGCCAUUGAUCUGUCAUGCAACAAAUUUCAAGGAGAAGUCCCAAAGGUUAUCGGAGAACUUAAAUGGCUUGCAUUGCUCAACUUAUCUCAUAAUAGUCUUACCGGACCUAUCCCAUCACAGCUCGGAAAUAUGAAAGCACUCCAAUCUCUGGAUUUGUCUUCAAAUCAAUUCACAGGGGCUAUCCCAUACCCGUUAAUUGGUUUGACAUUUCUAGAGGUCCUGAACCUCUCAUAUAACCAUCUCACCGGAGAAAUUCCCCAAAAAGGACAACUGAGCACGUUCACUAAUGAUUCUUACCUAGGUAAUCUUGCCUUGUGUGGAUCUCCUUUAACAGAGAAAUGUGCACACGAAGAGUCACCACCACAAGAAGUCGGAUAUGAUGAAGAUGGUGCAGAUAAUAAAUUCCAAUGGAAAGUAGUCCUAAUGGGAUAUGUUAUCGGAUUAGUAUGUGGAUUGUCUUCAGGUUACAUUUUUCUCACAACUGGAAAGCCUUGGUGGUUUUUGAGAUACAUCGAACAACUGCAGCAAAAGUUGAUCAGAAGAAUCACGUAGAGUACUGUUUGAUUAAGAUGAGCAACUUGAAAAGAAUGUUUACUAGACCAGUGGUAUGUCGGGAACAUUAAUGUGUGGUGUCAUAUAAUAUUUGAAAUGCUAAUGUCAGCACUAGUUCUAGUUCGGGCCUGAUACCAGGGGCGGAUCUAGGAAGAGGCACGCGGGGACACGUGUCCCCCCUAAAUUUUCUUUUUACAUUUUUUCACCAUUAUAAAGUUUACAAAAUUAUAAAAGUGCCCCCAAAGAAUUUAAAAAUAUAUAGGUAUUUUCCGAAAAUUUGCUUCGUGCCCCCUAACAUUUGUGGGCUAGAUCCGCCCCUGCCUGAUACUGAUUUACUCGUCUCAGAGCUACAUAUUUCGUUCAAUGUUAAUGCAAAAGGAAAAAAACAUACUACACACUAAAUCAACUUUGUAUCAAGUCGAGUUUUGGAGAUGCCAUUAUCAAAAGAAAAACACGGUGAAUGAUAUUUAUUAAGAACACGACUUGAACCAUAAGUGCAUGAAAAUCGUCUUUCAAAGUAUGGCAGGGGGGUGAAUCGUGCACACCAUGGAUAGUCACCUGAAAGCUAACCAUUCUGAGGUUCGUGGAAGCUGAUUUCAUACUCUUNCUGAAAGCUAACCAUUCUGAGGUUCGUGGAAGCUGAUUUCAUACUCUUGAAAGCUAUCUUUAGGAGGUCGAAACUUUAAUUUGUGUUACAUAACAUUUCAUUAUGCAAGACGGAUGGUUUCAGGGAAACUGUACUAGAGAGCAAGUACCAAAUAGUAAGGUAAACUUUCGAUGAUGAAAUUCCUCCCUGAUUUUUACAUCAUUCCAUGUUUUAGACUUGACAGAACAAUCGGGCGAAUGUUCUGGUCAAUUUUUUCAUGGUUGGGCCAAAAGAAUUAUAGUACAAAUGGGUGAGAAAGUGAGAAAGUUAAUUUUAGCGAUCGCUUUUCAUUAUUUAUAAUGACGAUCAAUUUUAUCUGAUUACUUUUAAUUUUAUCUUUUAUGCUUAUUUUUUUUUUUUUGUAUGGUCUACAUAAUCGUAGAUGAAUUGUAUCGAAAUACAAUAAACCGCAACCGAGAUUUCUUUCUUUCAAGAAAGUUUAUUAUCUAACCGAAAGCCAUGCAAUCAUAACUCCGGACGUUUAGACAAUAAAAUUUAAAUGAAUGAGAAAAGAAUACCCAUACAGCUCGCUUCCACAGUAUCCUGAGAAAAAACAAUCAAACAAAAUAUAAAUUAAUAUACAAGAAAAUCUAAUAAAAACAAAAACAAAAGAGUUUAUAUAUAAAAAAAAUAGAGAGGAAAUAUAUAUAUAUAUAUAUAUAGGGUCAAGUUCGAGAUAGAACCACAUUAUACUUAGAACUUAGACCCUAUAAAUUACCAUUAGAUAUAAAUAGGAUGUGUGGUUAAGAUUAUCAUUGGUAUUAAUCACAUGUUAUAUAUUUAGGUGACAUUUAUAUGUAUGCACAUUUAAUAAAUGAGAGUUAAUAACCAGAUUUAUUACUUUCCAUGAUUAAUACAAAUCUCAAUUAAAUUUUAUGUAUAUAAAUCAGUAUAACAAAAUUAAAUAUAUCAAAUAUUUUGUUUUCAUACAUAACAAAUUUGUGUGAUUUAAUUCUAUAUGUGUAAAUGUAUAACAAAUUUACGUGAUACUGUUGCAGCACUUGUACUAAUAUAAAAGAUGGUGUUAUAAUGCAAUAUUUUUCUAAAAAGAUGGAAAUACUGCUAUAGUACAUCAAAUAUCAUACUUAUAUUAUUUAAUAAUUAUACCGAUACUAUUGCAAUACAUAGUUUUUUUUAAAAAAAAAUAAAUAUAAAAGUACUGCUAUAGUACAUCAAAUACUAAUAUAAAAGAUGGUGUUAUAAUGCAAUAUUUUUCUAAAAAAUAGAAAAUACUGCUAUAGUAUGUCAAAUANNNNNNNNNNNNNNNNNNNNNNNNNNNNNNNNNNNNNNNNNNNNNNNNNNNNNNNNNNNNNNNNNNNNNNNNNNNNNNNNNNNNNNNNNNNNNNNNNNNNNNNNNNNNNNNNNNNNNNNNNNNNNNNNNNNNNNNNNNNNNNNNNNNNNNNNNNNNNNNNNNNNNNNNNNNNNNNNNNNNNNNNNNNNNNNACUAAAUAUUCAUAAAUAAUAUUUAUUCAAUCACAAUUUAAAACGUAACCAAUACAAUUAAAAUUAAUAAAGAUAAAUAAUGAACAGCCAAUAAGAGAGAUCCCGUAAUUAAAGUCAGUCCAAAUUAAAAUUCAAUUAUUGCCUAAAAAUCAAACAAUCAUGAUAAAUUAUGAAUUCAUAAAAUUUAAAAUUUAAACCUUAAGAAGAUAAAUAAAGACCAUCAUAAAUGUUAUUAAAUAUUCAUAAAGAAUAUUUAUCAAGAUAUAUUCCUUUCCAAAAUUAACCGAAAAAAUUGAAUACUUGCAUUUUAAAAAAUUUGCACAUAAAUAUACAAACAAAUAUAAUAUAUAAAAGCAACGCCAUAAUUCAAAAUAAAUUGAUAUCGAAACACUCAACAAUAUUACAUGCACCUAAAAACAUGUUAAAAAACUAAAAAGAUUAAUCUAGAAGAUCAAAUCACACACUUAACAAACACAUACAAUCAAGAAUACCUAUCGAAAAUCUAUAUCGAGAAUCUAUAACAGACCUAAUUUCAAAUCGAUAUUCCGGUCAACCAUCACAAAUCCGGCUAAGAUAAAACAUGUCAGAAAAAGGGGGAAAAAUGGAUACAUAACUCGACUUGAUCUACAAAACUAAUCAAACAAAAUUCUAAAACAGAUACGAAUCCAUGAUUUCAAUCAACUCAAAAUUCUAUACACCUUAAAAUUAGAAGAGGAAAAGCAUAAAAUGAUUUCUAUGAUAUAGAUAUGUUAUCGUAAUUCAUAAGUUAUACAAAACAUAAAGAACAAGCAAAGAACACAUAACAAGCAUUUAUUUUGGAUCAUAACAAUAUAAUCAAAAGAAGAUGAAAGAAGCGUACCUUUUCAAAGAGACGGAGAUAUUUUGAAAAACUAUAAAAUUGAGAGAAUAAACAUACCGAAUCCGAAAAUAAAAUCCAUAAAUUGUCACGAGCAAAAUCAUCUUUUGAUCCAUCAAAAUCUUUUAAAUAUUACAUCACCUUGUUUUCUUUGGUCGCUCGGUACCUUCUUUCUUAUCUUUUAUGCUUAUUAAAAACACAGAAGAUCGUGUAAACAAAAUUAAUACAAAACGUACUUAUUCAUAGAAUAUGAUUUACUUCACUUAACUGCGCUUAAUUAUUUGAAAGGAAAGAAUACAACACAAAAUUAAAUAUAUAAGAUCUGUUAAUUUUGGAAAUGAGAAUUUUUUUAACAUAAUCAUUGAUAACAUAUUUUUCCAACUUAUUUAUAUCUGCCAGAAUUAAAUAAAAUAUGCCUCAAUAGGUUAUCAUUCUUAAUGUGAAACUGCAAAAUUAUAUAUAUUUUCAUUUAUGCCAUAUUCUUAGACAAAAAUUAAAAACAAAAUAAUGAUCCUGAUCAGCUUUAAAGGGUGUAAAACAAGUGUAAAAUAAGUAAAGUAAUUUAACUUUCACUUAUAUUAUUAAGACAAAAGUAAGCGGAAAUAAACAUAAUUUCAAUAGAUUUAACUUACUCUCCAGAAUCGAUAAGUUUGGAACACGUUGAUUGAGCACAAGACGAAGGCCACACAUGCGCAUCGUCUGAUGCAGCUAUGGUGCCUUUACAGUUGCUCAUACAUAUAGUGAAACAAUAAGGAUCAACUCCUCCAUUGUGCGUACACAUUUUCUAUCCUUAUUUUCAUACAAUAAGGAUAGAGUCUUUGCAAUCUCGUCAUGACCAGCUAUACAUCCGAUCAUGAUAAACUCUAGCAGGAUCAUCCAAGUAAUAAUUUUCAUAAUGAUAUUAAUUAUCAUUGUGAAUAGUUGCAUUGAGUUAUGUAUGUGUGUGUAUAUAUAUGCAAUGGAUUUUGUGGUUGAGAAUAUCUAUUAGAUUUUGUAUAUCCAUAACAAUUAUUAAAAUUUGAACAAUAAUAUCCAUUAUUGGUUGUGGUUGACUAUUGUAGUAGUCCAAGAAGUCUAUGCAAGUGAAAUCUAUAUUAUAUUUAAAAAGAUUAUACAUGAAAUACAAAAGGUUUUUUUAGGACUGCUGUUAAAAAUUGUUAUGUUGUACGAAAAAAUGCUGAUAAAAAAAGUGUUAUACGAAAAUUUAAAUGCUGAUAAAAAAAAUGUUGUAGAAAUCAGACAUGACAGCUUCCCACAAAAGCUGAAAAAACAAUUUUCCGUAAUAAUAUGGGAGGAGAAAAACUGUUUAUAGAUUUAUAGAACAAUUUUUCACAUAUUUUUUGAUAAAAAGCUGUUGUUGUCUUCAAGCUGAGUAAUGCCAAACAGUUCCGAAAUCAUUUUGCAGGUAGUUAAUCUCACUUCCAUAUAAUAUACUCCUAUAUAUUACCGAAAAAACAUGAAAUGAUGCAAAUCUCAUACUAUUGACAACAGGUAAACUCCUUGCAAUACUUUGAGCUGCAAAAUCCAUCAAAUUUGUUGAUAUAUCAAUGUAACUGUUUGACAGAGUACUUCCAAGCUAAGUAUCAAAAAUCACUACCUUACGAAAUAUAUCUCACCCUACCUUCUCUGCUUAACUGUUUCGAGUACUUUUACCAAGCAUAUUUUCCAUUAAGGUGAAAGGCACAGAAUAAUUAAGGAUCACCUAUCCCAUCAGUGCCGGGGAAUAUGGAACCAUCUUAUCAGUUAACUAGUUUAACAUUUCUCGCGGUCUUGAACCUCUCAGAAAACCAUCUUAUACUCAUGUGCGGACUUCCUUUGACGAAGAAAUGGUGAUGCUGAUGCUAAUGAUAAUGAACUCAACUGGGGAGUGAUCCUUAUGGGAUACGGAUGUGGAUUGAUAUGCGGAUUUUCUUUGGGGUUUAUAUUUUGUGGUUUGUGAGAUACAUUGAAGUACUGCAGCUGGAGUUGAUCAUUAUAAAGAACAUAGGCAAGUUAAUCGCUUAUUGAAAUUAGUAAUUGUCAAAAGUAAAAUGUUGAAAUUACUUUUUCCGAAUGAAAUCAUCGGCAAAAAGUCUCUGUCGAAUUUGAUCUGCCAAAAUUAUGUUUAAUAUCUACGGCCAAGAUUAUCUGUCGAAAAUAUUUCCCGACAAUUUUAAAAGACAAAUUUGUCGCGUCUCAGUUGUGAGCAGGAAUAGAUAUUUUCGACAGAAUUCCACUGAAAUUAGCUAAUUUCAACAUAAAUUUUCUAUCGAAAUUACUCGGGUUUUUUGUAGCGUAUCUGAUAGCCUUUGGGGACUGGGGUAUAUUGUUUUCACAAAGCCCUGGUGAUUUGUGAGAUGCAUCGAAGGACCGCAACUGAAGUCGAUAAGAACAUGCAGAAAGAAAACUGAUCCAUCUUGAUAAACUUGAAAAAUGUUGUCAUAUGGUGAUAUAUACUCCCUGGCCCCAGUCUCUUGGAAAGAACUUAGUUGAUUUUUUUUUUUCAGUAUCCAUCCCUAAUAGUUGCAGCAAAUUAAAAAAUAUAGUUAUAUCUUUUUAGCAAUGGUGCAAUUUGGAAAGCUUUCUCAUCAUCUUCUUCUUUUCUUUAUCUCAUUACUCUCAUUUAAUUCCACUGUCCUGCAACAAUUCGCCAAGGAGAAGCUCUAGUUGAAUGGAAGAACAGCCUAUCCCUGAAUUCGUUUCUUGGUUCUUGGUCACUAAUUAAUCUCACUUAUCUUUGUAAUUAAGUGGACUGGCAUUGUAUGCAACUCUCUGCAGGUUCAGUCAGUCAGAUUAAUCUUCAAGAACUCACAGGAACACUUGCUAACCUCGGUUUCUUUUCGUUUUCAAAUCUCACCAAUAUCAACAUUACACAUAACAACUUCACUGGUCCAAUACCACCCGAGAUUGGAAAUUUACGACGGAACAAUGUGUCAUAAGUUUCAGUUUUCCUCCAAAACUUACGACGGAUGUUCAUACAUAACUUCUGUCGCAAGUUCAACUUUUUUCAAAAGGAAAACCAGGACCCACAACAGACAUGCGAUAGAAACUUCCGUCGUAAGGUAGUUAACAUACGACGGACCGAGCAUCGUAAGAUAAAAUUUAUCCAGACAAGGAUCUGGGCCCCACAACAUACUUGCGACGGAAAGUUCCGUCGUAAAUUCUGUAACUUACGACGGUUUUAAUACUUACGACGCAUGUUUGGAAUUGUGAUGUAUUUUGCAACUUUCGACUUGACAAAAAAUGACGGAAAAAGUCCGUCGUAAAGUAAGAACUACUUCCAUCGUAAAAACCCAGUUUUGUUGUAGUGUCUGCAGGUUCAGUCAGUCAGAUUAAUCUUCAAGAACUCACAGGAACACUGGCUAACCUCGGUUUCUUUUCGUUUUUCUAAUCUCACCAAUCUCAACAUUACACAUAACAACUUCACUGGUCCAAUACCACCCGAGAUUGGAAAUUUAACAGACGUUCAGUACCUCGACUUUAGCUAUAAUAAUCUCAAUGGUAAUGGUACCCUUUCAUACCAGGUUAGCCACCUUCAGAGGUUGGUCGUCUUACGGCUGUCAUUUAAUCACCGAAAGCUCCGAGUUUGUCCAAUUUUUCCCCCAUACCUAAACUGGUUGGUCUCGGUCUUAGUGGUAAUAAGCUGGCGUCAAAUUUUCCAGAAUUCAUAUCUAAUUGCUAUAACAUAAUUAAUCUUGAUCUUUUAUUUAACGUGUUAACUGGCCUGGUGAUCCAAUGCCUGAAUCAGCAGAUGACAAUUUACGUAAUCUUGAAGAACUGUAUCUUGGUGCCAAUUCUUUCGAGGGGCCAUUUCCAACGAAUAUAUUCAAGCUUUCCAAAUUAAGGGUUCUUGACCUAUCUAUGAAUAAUUUUUCAGGUUCAAUUCCUGAUGGUAUAGGGAUGCUUCCUGAUCUUUGAAUAAUUCGUUUAUAUAAUUCAUUUGAAGGAAUUAUUCCUUCUUCAAUUAGUCUACUUAAGGAUCUUCAACACCUAGACUUCAGUGACAACCUUCUAGUUUCAAGUAUAAUGUCUUACGGGUCCAAUUUAACCGAUCAUUAUAGGCAACCCCAUUAGAGAUGCUCUUAAUAACAUUUUAACUAGAGAAUAUCUUACUUUCAGUUGCAUUUGUAUUAAAUCUGAUUUAGAUGAAGAGAAACAGAAUACAUAUGAUCCUGAGACAACAUUUUGUCAAUGUUUUCGUCUUGAUUAAACAGUCUUCUUCAUGCGUGUCCUUGUCAACUUCAGUUGCGGUAAUUCAAUGUAUCUCACGAACCACCUUGGCUUUCCCAUUUUGAAAACAAGUAUCCUGAAGAUAAUCCGCAUAUCAAUCCACAUCCGUAGCUCAGUUGAUUUAUUAAUUUAUUCAUGAAGUGGCGAACGACAUUCCUGCAAAAGUAAAAGUCAGUGGAAUUUGUAUGAUAGCAUGAUCCAUGAUGAAUAUUUAAAGUUUCAGCUAGAAUUUCACCAAGUAAUUUAUUUCUUGCUUAAGUCCCGGAUUGACGAAUUUUGCUGAUCACAUUUCUAAUCGACCAAUUCUGGUCGAAUAAAUUAAAUGGCACACUUCCUGAGUUGGUGGUGGGGGCGUUCUUCUUGUGUUUCUUUCUUUUCAUUAUUGACAUUGUUAUCCAGGUCCUUGCUUCUGGGCUUUUGUAAAGCACCCAUUUACUCCAUUGUCAUGAUCAUAGCUAGUCUUCCAUAUCCAAGAUACGCGCAUUAUAGUGGAUUUAUCUUUAUUAGUGAUUUCUGUGGAAAUGCAUAAUCUUUAUAAGCUCCAAUAUUAUAAAAUAAACCUAACUUAUUAGAGUUAACAGGGCAUUUGUGUUGAUAAUUUGCGCAAUGUUAUGGGGAUCGCUCCCAAGUCUUGGACGGACUCUUUCCAAGUCUUCUGAGGACCCAUCUGCACACUAAUUUGUCCGCCAACUAAAAAUUUAUAUAUAUUUUUCCAUAGAAUAUAAAUAGUUGGGGGUACUAACAGAACCUCUAGUAAAAUUAAUUAAUACCGUUAUGAUUUCGCAAACACAGCAGACAGCAGGCAUAAGGCUUAUAAAUAGAAGUGUCGUAUUUGGUUGAUGGUCAAGUUGAGUGGAAAUAUGGCACACUUUGUAAUGCCUUGUUAUCCUCUUCUCUUUGUUUUCUUUCUCUCAUUACUUCAAUCCAUUCUAACAACACAAGAGGGAGAAGCUCUUGUGAAAUGGAAGAAUAGCCUAGCCCCUUCUUCUUUUCUCGACUCUUGGUCACUCACCAAUCUCGAUAAUCUUUGCAACUGGACUGGCAUUACUUGUAACUCUGCAGGUUCAGUCUCUCUGAUUAACCUCUGUGAGAAACAACUUGAUGGAAUGCUGUCUGAGUUUGGUUUCACUUCAUUUCCAAAUCUCAACAAUCUCACCCUCGCAGUUAACAACUUCUCCGGUCCAAUACCAGCAGCCAUUGAGAAUUUAACAGAGCUUCGGUAUCUUGAUUUGAGCAAUAAUUAUCUAGAUGGUCCCAUUCCUUUCCAGGUUAGCCAUCUUCAGAGGUUGCUCAUCUUAAAUCUGUCACGGAAUGCAUUGCAAGCUCUAAAUUGGUCCAAUUUCUCUCCCAUGCCUUUUUUGCGCAUCCUCAAGCUCAGUAGAAAUCAUCUUGCGUCGAAAUUCCCAAAUUUUAUAUCCAAUUCUCAUAGCCUGACUCACCUUGACCUUUCAUAUAACAUGUUUACCGGUGAUCUAGCAUGUGAACCAAUAUUUGCCAACCUGCAUAAGCUUGAAGUGCUUAGUCUCGUUGACAAUUCUUUUGAGGGGCCAUUUCCGCCAAAUAUAUUCAAGCUUUCCAAAUUAAAACGUCUUGCCCUGUCAGGUAACAAAUUUUCAGGUCCAAUUCCCAAUGACAUAAGGUUGCUUUGUGAUCUUGAAUCCCUAUAUUUAGGUAACAAUUCCUUUGAAGGACCGCUUCCACCAAAUAUAUUCAAGCUUUCAAAAUUAAAAGAUCUUGUUCUUUGGCGUAAUAAGUUUUCAGGUUAUAUUCCCAAUAGUAUAAAUUUGCUUUCGGCGCUUGAAGCCCUCGAUCUUUAUUCUAAUUUUUUUGAGGGGCCGCUUCCACCAAAUAUAUUCAAGCUCUCAAAACUAAGGAUUCUUUCCCUUGGGAACAAUAACUUUUCAGGUUCUGUCUCUAAUAAUAUAGGUUUGCUUCCUGAGCUUGAAACCCUAUAUCUUGACUCUAAUUUGUUUGAGGGGCCGCUUCCCCCACAUAUAUUCAAGCUCUCUAAAUUAAGAUAUCUAGACCUCUCAAACAAUAGAAAUUUAUUUGAAAUUAGAAGUAUUCCUAUUGGAUUGGGACUCUUGACUAACCUCAACUAUUUAGAUCUACAUUGCAGUAAUCUCAGUGGCGAUAUUUCAUCUGCCAUUGGAAACCUGAAGCUACUAGUAUUUCUUGAUCUCAGUUUUAAUCAAUUGACCGGACCGCUUUCAAAGAUCGUUUCUAAUCUCACAAAUCUUAUAUAUCUUGAUGUAAGUCAUAAUAGUCUUAGUGGAAAUAUUAGUGACUUGUGGAAAUAUUAUCUGUCUGGGAACAUUCCUAAGGAAUAUAACGAUCAUCCAACUUUGGAAUACAUCAAUUUAAGUGGGAACCAUUUUACAGGUAUGUUUUCUCUAUAUAUCUUUUCCUUUUGUCAUAUUAACUAAGCUUGUAAUCUUUUUGUAGUUAUACCAAAGUUUUAACAAUCUUGACAGGUGAGCUUCCAACAACAAUUUGCAAUGUCACUUCCCUUUCAGUUCUUGAUUUGUCAAAUAAUGGAUUAAGUGGUGCACUUCCAAACUGUUUCGCGAAUCUUGCUGAUAGAUUGCUUUACAUGAAUCUUGCUAAUAAUCUGUUUCGCGGAACAAUACUAAUUACUUUAUCCAAAAGUUGUCAGCUGACAUAUCUAAACAUGGAUAAUAAUGAGUUUGAAGGAUUGGUGCCCCCAUCUUUGGCGAACUGUAAGCACUUGAAAAUUCUUGAUAUUGGCAAUAAUAAAAUAGGUGGUUCAUUCCCGUCAUGGCUUUAUGUACUUGGAGAGCUAGAAGUCCUUGUCUUGCGAUCAAAUAAACUCUAUGGUACAAUAACUGGAAGGAGCAUAGAAGAUCCCUUCCCCAAGUUGCGGAUUGUGGAUCUGUCCGAUAAUCAAUUCACAGGCCAUUUGCCAAUUCAAUACUUUAAGAAUAUGAAAUCAACUGAUAAUAUGUAUAAUUAUCUGAAUUCCACAGGAGGAAUAUAUUUCACUUAUGAAGCAGCAGUCUCACUAACUGUGAAGGGAACAGAGUAUGAAGUAGCAAAUAACCUUCAUAUUUACACAGCUAUUGAUCUGUCGUGCAACAAAUUUCAGGGUGAAAUUCCAAAAGUUAUUGGAGAGCUUAGAUGGCUUGCAUUGCUCAAUUUAUCGCAUAAUAGUCUGACAGGACAUAUCCCAUCAUUGCUGAGAAAUAUGAAAGAACUCCAAUAUUUAGAUCUGUCCUCAAAUCAACUGACAGGGGCUAUUCCACCUCAGUUAACUGCAUUGACAUUUCUAGAGGUCUUGAACCUCUCAGGAAACCAUCUUAGUGGAGGGAUUCCUCAGAAAGGACAGUUCAGCACAUUCAACAAUGAUUCUUAUCUAGGAAACUCCGCUUUAUGUGGAUCACCUUUGACGAAGAAAUGUGCAAACACAGCAUCACCUCCAAAAGAAGUCGGAAAUGGUGAUGAAGAAGAUGGUGGUGAUGAAUUGACAUGGGAAGCAAUCGUGAUGGGAUAUGGAUGUGGACUGAUAUGUGGCAUCAUCGGCAUACAUUGUUCUCAAACUAGGAAAGCCGUGGUGGUUUGUGAGAUGUAUCGAAGUACUGCAACUGAAGUUGAUGAAAAGAUAUGCAUGAAGAAUGGUACUCUGGUCGAUCAACACGAACUUGAAAGUUGUUGUCCUUGUGGACUAGCUGCCUAAGUAUUUGGUAUUAUGUAAUAAUCCGUUUGGUCGGGACUCAUAAUCAUGCAUUUUUCUUGCUUCAGGAGUAUUAAUAUAUAUUAACCUUGCUAUCUAAAAGAAUAAAAUUGCAAAUUAACCUUCUCAGAGAAAUCUUGCUGAUAAAAUGCAUUGCAUUGAUCUCGCUAAUAAUCAGUUCCGAGGACCAAUACCAACAACCUUCUCAGACAGUUGCCAGUUAAGAUAUCUAAACAUGUAUGACAAUCACUUAAAAGGACUAUUGCCCCGAUCUCUGUCAAACUGUAAGCACUUGAAAAUUCUUGACAUCGGGAACAACAAAAUGGGCGGUACAUUUCCUUCAUGGCUAUUUACUCUCGGAGAGCUGGAAGUCCUAGUCUUGCGAUCAAAUAGACUUUACGGUCCAGUAAGUGGAAGGAGCACAUCACAUCCAUUCCCCAAGUUGCGGAUUUUAGAUCUCUCCAACAACCAAUUCGCGGGCCAUUUUCCAAUUCAAUACAUUAAGAAUAUGAAACCAACUGCUGACAACGGGUAUAGUUAUCAAAAUAGAUCACAAGGACUAAUUAAUUACAUCUAUGAAGCAUCUAUCUCCUUAAAUGUGAAAGGAACAGAGUAUGAAGUGAAAAACAUUCUUCAUAUCUACACAACCAUUGAUCUGUCGUGCAACAAAUUUCAAGGAGAAGUUCCAAAGGUUACUGGAGAGCUUAAAUGGCUUGCAUUGCUCAAUCUAUCUCAUAAUAGUCCUACCGGACAUAUGUUCUGCAUUAUUAUUAUGCUUUCAUCAAUAUUUUUAAACACUUCUCAAUAUGUAUUUUCAAAGAAUUCUCAAGCACUUGAACAUUUGGACCGGUUCUUUCGAAGCCAAGAUGCCCAGGUUAUCAUGGCCAUGCACAAAAAUGCCCAAAAAUAAAUAAAUUAAGAGAGAUUGCUCAGGGUCUCCCCAAGCCUUCCAGGACACAUUCCAAGUCUUCGGAGGACCACUGCCUCGCCCUUUCAAAGAUGUGAUAGUAGCUCGAGAGUGAUAUAAAUUAUUUUCCCGACACUAAAAUAAAUAGGGUUUUGUUCCAGGACAAUCGAUUGUCAUGGAGGUCUUCCAUCAUAUCCGCAGAUAGGAACUUUCCCUAUCCGCGGAAAAUUAUAGCGGAUACUUAAAAAAAUGAAGUUUAAUCUGGACCCUUGAAAUAGAGAUCCGACGGCCAUGAAAGUGUGUGUUAACUUACUUGGCACUAAGAUUGAUAAAGACAGUAUAAUAAUUUAAUUGAUGAAAAGUCAAAGUUUUCUAAUAAAUCCAUAAAGAAUAUGAUAAUCAAAAUAACGAAAAUUAUAAUUGAAAAAUCAAAAUCAUUAGUCAUGUAUUAGAAUAGUGUUCACACACUUAUAUAUCAAAAUUUGUGGUCCCAAAAACUAUAGCACAAUAUCCUAAAUACACCACAUUAAAUACUAGUUCAAAAAUAUUCAAUAAAUAAUUGAUUUCAUUCAUAAUUUUGUUAUUUUAAAAACGAAUAAUUUGGUUGAUGUUGACCUAUAUUUUAAUAUAUAAUUAUAUUAUUUUUGUCUUAUUUUAUUUAACUAGAAACAAUAUUUUUAUAAUAUUUAUUACAUUAAUUAUAUUAAUAGAUAUAAUUUUAUUAAAAAAAUUGAAUAAAAUUAAGAGGAAAACUCUAUGCCACUCCAAGUCUACAAGACUCAUUUCAAGUCCACCGAGGACCACUACCUCAACCAUUGAGAGAUGUGAAAGUAGCUUGAGAGUGAUAUAAAUUAUUUUCCUGACAAUAAAAUUUAAUAUCUAAUAUAAAUUAAUUAAAUUAGUUAAUAAUAAAUCAAAAUUAAUCAUAAAUUAUGAUUAUAAUUAAAUUAUAUAAAUCAACUCCAAAUGAUACAAAUAACACUAAACCUUGGUUACUUUGUUGGUAAAUAAAUAUAAUAUAAUAAUCAAAUUGAUGAGAAAUCAAAAUCAUCUAAUAAAUUCACAAAAAAUAUAUGAUCAUUAGUAUAUUAUAUUAGUAUCCACACACUUAUAUUUCAAAAUCUAUCCUCCAAACUUAUCAUCUCUGUAAACUAGCCACAUAAAAUAAAAAAUUUCCACACUAAAUAACAAAAUAUCUUUAUCAAAUUAUUAUUUAUGAAUUAAAUAUUCAAGUUAUAAUUCCAGCAUGCAGCGUAUAAAUAGAAGUGUGCAGUAUGAUAUCAGAUUCAUAACCCAGUUGAGGAGAAACAUGGCACACUCUGUAAAGCCUUCUCACCUUCUUCUCUUUGUUUUCUUUCUCUCAUCACUUGAAUCCAUUCUUGCAACAACACGAGAAGGAGAAGCUCUUGUGAAGUGGAAGAAUAGCCUAGCCCCUUCUUCUUUUCUCGAUUCUUGGUCCCUCACCAAUCUCGAAAAUCUUUGUAACUGGACUGGCAUUACUUGUAACUCUGCAGGUUCAGUCUCUGAGAUUAACCUCUGUGAGAAACAACUUGAUGGAAUGAUGUCCGAGUUUGGUUUCACUUCAUUUCCAUAUCUCAACAAUCUCACCCUCGCAUACAACUUCUUCUCAGGUCCAAUACCAUCAGCCAUUGAGAAUUUAACACAGCUUCAAUUUCUUGAUUUGAGCAAUAAUAAUCUCGAUGGUCCCAUUCCGUUGCAGGUUAGCCAUCUUCAGAGGUUGCUCGUCGUAAACCUGUCACAGAAUGCAUUGCAAGCUUCAAAUUGGUCCAAUUUCUCUCCCAUGCCUUUUUUGCGCAUUCUCAACCUCAGUAGCAAUCAUCUUGUAUCGAAAUUCCCAGAAUUUAUAUCCAAUUCUCAUAGCUUGGCUAUCCUUGACCUUGGAUAUAACAACUUUACAGGUGAUCUUGUGCGUGAAUUUACCAAUCUACAAAAUCUUGAAACCCUCUACCUUGAUGAUAAUUCUUUUGAGGGGCCAUUUCCGCCAGAUAUAGUCCAGCUUUCCAAAUUAAAAGAUCUCACCCUGUCGACUAACAAAUUUUCAGGUUCAAUUCCCGAUGACAUAAGGUUGCUUUGUGAUCUUGAAUUCCUAUAUUUAGGCAACAAUUCUUUUGAAGGACCCCUUCCACCAAAUAUAUUCAAACUUUCAAAAUUAAAACAUCUUGUUCUUUGGAGUAAUAACUUUUCAGGUUCUGUUUCCAAUGAUAUAGGUUUGCUUUCUGAGCUUGAAAUUCUCAAUCUUCAUUCUAAUUUUUUUGAGGGGCCACUUCCGCCAAAUGUAUUCAAGCUCUCCAAACUAAAGUUACUUUCCCUUCACGAUAAUAACUUUUCAGGUUUUGUUUCCAAUGAUAUAGGUUUCCUUUCUGAGCUUGAACACCUACAUCUUGGCCAUAAUUUUUUUGAGGGGCCACUUCCGUCAAAUAUAUUCAAGCUCUCCAAAUUAAGAUAUCUAGGCCUAUCAAACAAUAGAAAUUUAUUUGAAGGAAGUAUUCCUAUUGGACUGGGACUCUUGACUAACCUCAGGUUCUUAGAUCUAUAUUCCAAUAAUCUCGGUGGCUAUAUUCCAUCUGACAUUGGAAACCUGAAGCUACUAGUUAAUCUUGAUCUCAGUUCUAAUCAAUUGACUGGACCGCUUCCGAAGAUCGUUUCUAAUCUCACAAAUCUUAUAUCUCUUGAUGUAAGUGAUAAUAGUCUUAUAGGAAAUAUUCAGAGUGACUUGUGGAAAUAUAACGAUCAUCGAAAUUUGGAAAACAUCAAUUUAAGUGGGAACCAUUUUACAGGUAUAUCUUUUCCUUUAGUCAUAUGUAACUAAGCUAGUAAUCUGAUUAUUGCAGUUUUACCAAAGUUUCAAAAAUCUUGACAGGUGAGCUUCCAACAACCAUUUGCAAUGCCACUUCCCUUUCGGUUCUUGAUUUGUCAAAUAAUGGAUUAAGUGGUGCACUUCCAAACUGUUUCGGGAAUCUUGCUGAUGGAUUGCAUUACAUUAAUCUUGCUAAUAAUCAGUUUCGAGGAAAAAUACCAACUACUUUCUCCAGGAGUUGUCAGCUGACAUAUCUAAACAUGGAUAAUAAUGAGUUUGAAGGAUUGUUGCCCCCAUCUUUGGCGAACUGUGAGCACUUGAAAAUUCUUGAUAUUGGCAAUAAUAAAAUAGGUGGUACAUUUCCGUCAUGGCUUUAUGCACUUGGAGAGCUAGAAGUCCUUGUCUUGCAAUCAAAUAAACUCUAUGGUACAAUAAGUGGAAGAAGCAUAAAAGAUCCCUUCCCCAAGUUGCGGAUUAUGGAUCUGUCCAACAAUCAAUUCACAGGCCAUUUGCCAAUUCAAUACUUUAAGAAUAUGAAAUCAACUGAUAAUUUGUAUAGUUAUCAGUAUUCCUCGGUAGUAUUAUACUUCUCUUAUGAAGCAGCAGUCUCAUUAACUGUGAAGGGAACAGAGUAUGAAGUAAGAAAUAAUCUUCAUAUUUACACAGCCAUUGAUCUGUCCUGCAACAAAUUUCAGGGAGAAAUUCCAAAGGUUACUGGAGAGCUUAUAUGGCUUGCAUUGCUCAACUUAUCUCAUAAUAGUCUAACAGGACAUAUCCCAUCAUUGCUGAGAAAUAUGAAAGAACUCCAAUCUUUAGAUUUGUCUUCAAAUCAACUGACAGGGGCUAUUCCACCUCAGCUAACUGCAUUGACAUUUCUAGAGGUCUUGAACCUCUCGAAAAACCAUCUUAGUGGAGAGAUUCCUCAGAAAGGACAGUUCAGCACAUUCAACAAUGAUUCUUAUCUAGGAAACUCCGCGUUAUGUGGAUCACCUUUGACGAAGAAAUGUGUAAACACCGGAUCACCUCCACAGGAAGUCGGAAAUGCUGAUGAAGAUGAUGCGGGUGAUAAAUUGAUAUGGGAAGCAAUCGUGAUGGGAUAUGGAUGUGGACUGAUAUGUGGAUGGUCAUCUGCGUACAUUGUUCUCAACCUAGGAAAGCCUUGGUGGUUUGUGAGAUAUAUCGAAGUACUGCAACUGAAGUUGAUGAAAAGAUAUGCAUGAAGAAUGGUACUGGUCGAUCAAGACGAACUUGAAAGUUGUUGUCCUGGUAGACAUUUCUGAACCAGUAGUGUACUAGCUACAUAAGUAUUUGGUAUUAUGUAAUAAUCUGUUUGGUCGGGACUCAUAAUGAUUUCUCUUGCUUCAGGGGUAUUAAUAUUAACCUUGCUAUCUUCAUCUGUGUUGAUGCAAAUGAAAAAGAAUGGAAAAACAAAAAAAUUGCAUCAAACCUGUUGUACCAAGAUCCAUUAAUCUGCUUUCAUCUCUUACGCAACAAUUUAACAGCACUUUCACACUGUUUGAAAGAUUAUCAUAAAUUCGAGUUUUCCUCGGCAGCACCAAAUCCAAAUAUACAAUCCGUCAAUCCCACACAUUCCAGUCUCAGCUUCAGCUCCCAGGCUAGCAUUAAUAACAGUUGGGGAUUUGAGUGAACGUGCCUUGGUCCUGCCUUCAAAUGUGUAACAUUAACAGUUGGAUAUGUCGACAAAAAAAUUGUUCCUCACACAGCGGAAUAAAUCCGACAGUUCUUUUCAUCCAGCAAUUUAAAGCUUAACAGACAGUCAUUAUUUCAGCAAUAUGUCUAGCAAAUAUGUAGGGCACUUGACACCAUACUUCCAACACAAGUAGUAAAAGGAGAGACCAUUGUUUCGAAUGCUCGGAAAUUUGAACUGGGUUUUUUCAGCGUGCCCCUGACUUUUGUACACAAACAGCUGAAGAAAAGCAGAAGUCGGAUUCUGGAAAAAAGAAGCACUUAUCUAUGCUAAUAUAUUAAAAAUGUCAUCUGUGUUUCUUAUGUUUGUGCAACAACCUGACAGAAAGGGAUGUAGGUGAAACCAGGGGCGUAAAAUGAAUCGGGACUAAAAUCUACUAAAAUGAUAAUUAUGUACUAUAUUUGGUCUGUUUUAAUAUACAUGUAAAAGGGGACGAAGUAGUUGGUUAUAGUUGCGAAUCCUAUAAAUGAAUGCGCGAUCAGGAUGUGUCACUAAGCACCUCCAACGCCGGGUAAGGGUGAGUAGUCUACUUCUGCUUCCUCUGUUUUUUGUAUUUGACGUUUUAAAUUUUGGCACACAAUUUUAAGUGUUUUGACCGUAUAGUUGAAAAUAUUAAUUUUAAUUUUUUUUUGAAUAAAAAUAUAUAAUCAAAAUUUUAAUUUAGAAAAAAGAUCAAUCAAAAAUAAUAUUUUUUACUAUUCGAUCAACCCACUUAACAAUAACAAUUAAAAGACUUUAGUGACGUUAUCUGACCAAGGGUCAUGGAAACUUCGACAUCGGAAUCUUGCGAGGCUACUAUUCUAAAGCACGCAUAAUCAUUGUAUCCAUUUUCCUCUAACACUGACAAAAAAUCUAUUUGAACAAAUGAAAUACAAACAACUCAGUGGAAUGCUAACUGAGUAAAGUUUCACUUCAUUUCCAAAUCUCAACAAUUUCACCAUCAAAUAUAAUGACUUCUGCUGUCCAAUACCACCAGCCUUUGAGAAUUUGGCACAGCUUCAAUUCCAUACCAGGUUAGUCAUCUUUGGAAAUUACACGUCUUAGACCUGUCAAACAUAAAUUUCAAUCUCCAAACUGGUCCGAUUUAUCUUCCAUGCUCUUUGUUGAGAACCGGUCCAUCUAAAACCUUAAGAUGUCAGAGGAAACUCAAAAUGGAUCUUCUACUAUAUUUUAACAUUUCUGAGUACAUUCAAUUAUAAGGUCACUUGUGCAUCGCUGUUCACACACUUAGACCCUGUUUGUGUGGGCUUUAAGUCCGGGCUCAAGCUAUUUCGACUUCAUCACUUCCAAGGACUUAUACCAACAACCUUCUCAAAGAGUUGCCAGUUAAGAUAUCUAAACAAGUGUGACAAUCAGUUAGAAGGACUAUUGCCCCGAUCUUUGUCAAACUGUAAGCACUUAAAAAUUCUUGACAUCGGGAACAAUAAAAUGGGCGGUACAUUCCCUUCAUGGCUAUUUAAUCUCGGAGAGCUAGAAGUCCAAGUCUUGCGAUCAAAUAGACUGUACGGUCCUGUAAGUGGAAGGAGCACAUCACAUCCAUUCCCCAAGUUGCGGAUUCUAGAUCUCUCCAACAAACAAUUCACGGGCUAUUUGCCAAUUCUAAACUUUAAGAAUAUGAAACCAGCUGCUGAUGAUAACGCGUAUAGUUAUAAAAAUAAGUCACAAGGACUAAUUAAUUACAUCUAUGAAGCAUCUAUCUCCUUAAAUGUGAAAGGAACAGAGUAUGAAGUGAAGAACAUUCUUCAUAUUUACACAGCCAUUGAUCUAUCGUGCAACAAAUUUCACGGAGAAGUUCCAAAGAGAGCUUAAAUGGCUUGCAUUGCUCAAUCUAUCUCAUAAUAGUCUUGCCGGACAUAUGUUCUGAAUUAUUAUUAUGCUUUCAUCAAUAUUUUCAAACAUUUCUCAAUAUGUAUUUUCAAAGAAUUCUCAAGCCCUGGAACAUUUGGACCGGUUCUUUCGAAGCUAAGAUGCCCAGGUUAUCAUGGCCAUGCACAAAAAUGAAUAAAUUAUUCCAAGUCUUCCAUGACUCAUUCCAAGUCUUCGGAGGAGACCCUGAGCACAAAGAUGCUCAGGGUCUCCCCAAGCCUUCCAGGACUCAUUCCAAGUCUUCGGAGCACGGCCUCGCCUCGCUCUUUCAAAGAUGUGAUAGUAGCUCGAGAGUGAUAUAAAUUAUUUUCCCGACACUAAAAAUAAAUAAUCAGAUCAAAUUAAUCAAUAAUAAAUUAAAGAUGAAAUCCAAAUUAAUCUUAAAUUUUGAUAAUAUAUAAAAAUUAUAAUUAUAAAUUAUAUACCAAAUCAGAAUUGAAUUAAUUCCUUGGCACUAAAAUUGAUAAAGAAAGUAUAAUAAUUUAAAUUUAAUUGAUGAAAAGUCAAAGUCUUCUAAUAAAUCCAUCGAAGAGCACUAAUUCCAUCUGCAGUGAUUUGGAAGAACAGGUCUCUUGCCACUCCAAUUCCUAAGAAAAUUUAGCCCAUAAAUAGAAGUGUGCCUUGCGCUAUGAGAUGUACAAUGUGACAGGAAACAUGUUGCACUUCCCAAAGCCUAAUUAUCACCUCAUUGUGCUAGUUUUCUUUCUCAUAUUGCUUUCAUCUACCCUCACAACAGUAUCUACGACAAGAGAAGGAGAAGCUCUGUUAAAAUGGAAGAACAGUCUACCACCAUCCUCUUCCCUAAAUUCUUGGUCACCCGUCAAUCUCAAUAAUUUGUGUAACUGGACUGGCAUUAUCUGUAACUCUGCAGGUUCAGUCUCAGAAAUAAACCUUUCACUAAAACAACUUAGUGGAACGCUUGCCAAUUUCAGUUUCACUUCAUUUCCAAAUCUUAAUAGUCUUGACAUUAGUGGCAACAACUUUACAGGUCCAAUACUACCUGCCAUUGAAAAGUUCACGCAGCUUCAGCAUCUUGAUUUUAGCUUUAACAAGCUCAAUGGUAUCAUUCCAAACCAAAUUUGGCAUCUUCAGAGAUUGCGCACCUUAGACCUGUCAGUUAAUUACUUGGAAGCUUCAGACUGGUCUAGUUCUUUCUCCAUGCCUUUUCUGACCAACCUCGACCUUAGUUUCAAUAAAAUUGGGGCAAGAUUCCCAGGCGUUACAUCCAAUUCUUGUAACCUAACAUGUCAAUUGUUGCCUGAGUCAUUAGUUAACAAUCUGCAUAAUCUGGAAGUCCUUUCUCUUCAUCACAAUUCUCUCGACGGGCCAUUUCCACCAAGCAUAUUCAAGCUUUCCAAAUUAAGAUAUCUCUCCCUAUCAAGUAAUCAUUUUUCAGGUUCUAUUCCGGAUGAUAAGGGAUGCUUGGUGAUCUUGAAUCCCUUUAUCUGGGUCACAAUUCUUUUGAGGGGCCCUUCCCACCAAAUAUUUUCGGUUUUUCCAAAUUAAUAAAUCUGUCUUUAUCAGGGAAUAGCUUUUCAGGUUCUGUUCCAGAUGAUAUAAGGAUGCUUAGUGAUCUUGAAUACCUUGAUCUUAGUCGGAAUUUUUUUGAGGGGCCUUUUCCACAAAAAAUAUUCAAGCUUUCCAAAUUAAAAGUUCUUGACCUAUCAAGAAACAAUUUUUCAGGUUCUAUUUCAGAUGAUAUACGGAUGCUUCAUAGUCUUGAGUUGCUCCAUCUUGAGUACAACUCUUUUCAGGGACCCUUUCCACCAAAUAUAUUGAAGCUUCCGAAUUUAAGAGUACUUGACCUAGCAGACAAUGACUUUUCAGGUUCUAUUCCCAGUGAUAUAAACAUGCUUCAUGAUCUGAAAAUACUUUCAUUGUUUUCUAAUUCAUUUGAAGGAACUAUUCCUUCUUCUAUAAGUCUACUCAAGGAGCUACGAUACCUUCACCUCGGGUCUAAUCAUCUCAAUUCCACUAUUCCUUCUGAGCUGGGGCUCUUGGCAAACCUUGACCGAUUAUAUCUUGAUUCCAAUAAUCUUACUGGCAAUAUCCCUCAUAUCUGAACAUGUACAACAAUUACUUUGACGGAGUGUUGCCUCAAUCUUUUGCCAACUGCAAGCAGUUAAAAGUUCUUGAUAUAGGAAACAACAAAAUAAGUGGUACAUUUCCCUCAUGGCUAUUUACUCUUGCAGAGCUAGAACUCCUUGUCUUGCGGUCCAAUAGACUUUAUGGUACAGUAAGUUUAAGAAGCACAACAGAUCCCUUUCCCAAGUUGCGCAUCAUGGAUCUCUCAAACAAUGACUUCACAGGCUAUUUGCCAAUUCAAUAUUUCAAAAAUAUGAAGCCGGUUGAUAAGGGGUAUGAUUAUCACAAUUUCACAGCACCAUUUUAUUACUACUAUCAAGCAUCUAUCUCGUUAACUGUGAAAGGGACCGAGUACCAAGUGAGUAAAAUUCUUCAUAUUUACACAGCCGUUGAUCUGUCAUGCAAUAAAUUUCAAGGAGAAGUCCCAAAGGUCAUUGGAGAACUUAAAGGGCUGGCAUUGCUCAAUUUAUCUCAUAAUAGUCUUACUGGACCUAUCCCAUCACAGCUCGGAAAUAUGAAAGCACUCCAAUCUCUGGAUUUGUCUUCAAAUCAAUUCACAGGGGCUAUCCCAUACCCGUUAAUUGGUUUGACAUUUCUAGAGGUCCUGAACCUCUCAUAUAACCAUCUCACCGGAGAAAUUCCCCAAAAAGGACAACUGAGCACGUUCAGUAAUGAUUCUUACCUAGGUAAUCUUGCCUUGUGUGGAUCUCCUUUAACAGAGAAAUGUGCACACGAAGAGUCACCACCACAAGAAGUCGGAUAUGAUGAAGAUGGUGCAGAUAAUAAAUUCCAAUGGAAAGUAGUCCUAAUGGGAUAUGUUAUCGGAUUAGUAUGUGGAUUGUCUUCAGGGUACAUUUUUCUCACAACUGGAAAGCCUUGGUGGUUUUUGAGAUACAUCGAACAACUGCAUAGCAAAAGUUGAUCAGAAGAUUCACGUAGAGUACUGUUUGAUUAAGAUGAGCAAGUUGAAAAGAAUGUUUACUAGACCAGUGGUAUGUCGGGAACAUUAAUGUGUGGUGUCAUAUAAUAUUUGAAAUGCUAAUGUCAGUGCUAGUUCUAGUUCGGGUCUGAUACUGAUUUACUCGUCUCAGAGAUACAUAUUUGUGUUCAAUGUUAAUACAAAACGGAAAAAACAUACUACACAUUAAAUCAACUUUGUAUCAAGUCGAGUUUUGGAGAUGCCAUGAUCAAAAGAAAAACACGGUGAAUGAUAUUUAUUAAGAACACGACUUGAACUAUAAGUGCAUGAAAAUCGUCUUUCAAAGUAUGGCAGGGGUGUGAAUCGUGCACACCAUGGAUAGUCACUUGAAAGCUAACCAUUCUGAGGUUCGUGGAAGCUGAUUUCAUACUCUUGAAAGCUAUCUUUAGGACGUCGAAACUUUAAUUUGUGUUGCAUAACAUUUCAUUAUGCAAGACAGAUGGUUUCAGGGAAACUAUACUGGAGAGCAAGUACCAAACAGUAAGGUAUACUUUGGAUGAUGAAAUUCCUCCCUGAUUUUUACAUCAUUUCUAGUUUUAAACGUGACAGAACAUUCGGGCGAAUGUUCUGGUCAAUUUUUUCAUGGUUGGGCCAAAAGAAUUAUAGUACAAAUGGGUGAGAAAGUUACAUUUUAGAGAUCGCUUCUCAUUAUUUAUAAUGACGAUCAAUUUUAUUUGAUUACUUUUAAUUUUAUCUUUUAUACUUAUUAAAAACACAGAAGAUCGUGUAAACAAAAUUAAUACAAAACGUACUUAUUCAUAGGAAAUGAUUUACCUCACUUAACUGCGCUUAAUUAUUUGAAAGGAAAGAAUACAACACAAAAUUAAAUAUAUAAAGAUCUGUUAUUUGUUAUUUGGAAAUGAGGAAUUUUUUUAACAUAAUCAUUGAUAACAUAUUUUUCCAACUUAUUUAUAUCUGCCAGAAUUAAAUAAAAUACGCCUCAAUAGGUUAUCAUUCUUAAUGUCAAAUUGCAAAAAUAUAUAUAUUUUUAUUUAUGUCAUAUUCUUAGAAAAAAAUUAAUAACAAGAUAAUAAUCCCUAGCUUUAAAGGGAGGAAAACAAGUGUAAAAUAAAUAAAGUAAUUUAACUUUCACUUAUAUUAUUAAGAUAAAAGUAAGCGGAAAUAAAUAUAAAUUCAACAUAUUUAACUUACCCUUCAGAAUCCAUAAGUUUGGAACAAGUAGAUUGAGCACAAGACGAAGGCCACACAUGCGCAUCAUCUGAUGCAGCUAUGGUGCCUUUACAGUUGCUCAUACAUAUAGUGAAACAAUAAGGAUCAACUCCUCCAUUGUGCGUACACAUUUUCAUACAAGCUAUAAAGCAUGGUGAUAGAGUCUUUGCAAUCUCAUCAUGACCAGCACAUCCGAUCAUGAUAAACUCUAGCAGGAUCAUCCAAGUAAUAAUUUUCUUAAUGAUAUUAAUUAUCAUUGUGAAUAGUUGUAUUGAGUUAUGCAUGUGUGUGUAUAUAUAUGCAAUGGAUUUUGUGGUUGAGAAUAUCUGUUAGAUUUUGUAUAUCCAUAACAAUUAUUAAAAUUUGAACAAUAAUAUCUAUUAUUGGUUGUGAUCGACUAUUGUAGUAGUCCAAAAAAUCUAUAUUACAUUUAAAAAGAUUAUACAUGAAAUACAAAAGCUUUUUAUUAGGACUGUUGUUAAAAAUUGCUAUGUUGUACGAAAAAAUGCUGAUAAAAAAUGUGUUACAGAAAAAAUGCUGAUAAAAAAUGUGUUACAGAAAAAAUGCUGAUAAAAAAAAUGUUGUAGAAAUCAGAUAUGACAGCUUCCCACAAAAGCUAAAAAAACAGUUUUUUUCCAUAAUAAUAUGGGAGGAGAAAAACUGUUUGUAGAAUUAUUGAACAAUUUUUCACAUAUUUUUCGAUAAAAAGCUGUUGUUAUUGUCUUCAGUAAUGCCAAACAGUGCCGAAAUCAUUUUGAAAUCAUUUUGCAGGUAGUUAAUCUCACUUCCAUAUAAUAUAGUACUCCUAUAUAUUAUCGAAAAAACAUGAAAUGAUGCAAAGCUCAUACUAUUGACAACAGGUAAACUCCUUGCAAUACUUUGAGCUGCAAAAUCCAUCAAAUUUUUUGAUUUAUCAACGUAACUGUUUGACAGAGUACUUCCAAGCUAAGCAUCAAAAGUCACUACCUUACGAAAUAUAUCUCACCCUACCUUCUCUGCUUAUAAGCUGUUUUGAGUACUUUUACCAAGCAUAUUUUCCAUUAAGCGUGAAAGGCACAGAAUAAUUAAGGAUCACCUAUCCCAUCAGUGCCGGGGAAUAUGGAACCAUCUCAUCAAUUAACUAGUUUAACAUUUCUCGCGGUCUUGAACCUCUCAGAAAACCAUCUUAUACUAAUGUGCCGACUUCCUUUGACGAAGAAAUGGUGAUGCUGAUGCUAAUGAUAAUGAACUUAACUGGGGAGUGAUCCUUAUGGGAUACGGAUGUGGAUUGAUAUGCGGAUUUUCUUUGGGGUUUAUGUUUUGUGGUUUGUGAGAUACAUUGAAGUACUGCAGCUGGAGUUGAUCAUUAUAAAGAACAUAGGCAAGUUAAUCGCUUAUUGAAAUUAGUAAUUGUCAAAAGUAAAAUGUUGAAAUUACUUUUUUCGAUUGAAAUCAUCGAAAAAAAGUCUCUGUCGAAAUUGAUCUGCCAAAAUUAUGUUUAAUAUCUACGGCCAGGAUUAUCUGUCGAAUAUAUUUCCCGACAAUUUUAAAAGACAAAUUUUUCGCCUCUCAGCUGUGAGCGGGAACAGAUAUCUUCGACAGAAUUCCAUUGAAAUUAGCUAAUUUCAACAUAAAUUUUCUAUCGAAAUUACUUGAGUUCUUUGUAGCUUGUUUUCACAAAUACGCUGAUAGCCUUUGGGGACGGGUAUAUUGUUUUCACAAAGCCCUGGUGGUAUGUGAGAUGCUUCGAAGGACUGCAACUGAAGUCGAUAAGAACAUGCAGAAAGAAAACCGAUCCAUCUUGAUGAACUUGAAAAAUGUUGUCAUAUGGUGAUAUAUACUCCCCUGGCCCCAGUCUCUUGAAAAAAACUUGGCUGAUUUUUUUUUUUUCAGUAUCUAUCCCUAAUAAUUGCAGCAAAUUAAAAAAUAUAGUUAUAUCUUUUUAGCAAUGGUGCAAUCUGGAAAGCUUUCUCAUCAUCUUCUUCUUUUCUUUAUCUCAUUACUCUCAUCUAACUUGACGAUCCUAUCUGCAACAUUUCGCCAAGGAGAAGCUCGUGUGGAAUGGAAGAACAGCCUAUCCCCGAAUUCGUUUCUUGGUUCACUAAUUAAUCUCACUUAUCUUUGAAAUUAAGUGGACUGGCAUUGUAUGCAACUCUGCAGGUUCAGUCAGUCAGAUUAAUCUUCAAGAACUCACAGGAACACUUGCUAACCUCGGUUUCUUUUCGUUUUCAAAUCUCACCAAUCUCAACAUUACACAUAACAACUUCACUGGUCCAAUACCACCCGAGAUUGGAAAUUUAACAGAUGUUCAGUACCUCGACUUUAGCUAUAAUAAUCUCAAUGGUACCAUUCCAUACCAGGUCAGCCAUCUUCAGAGGUCGGUCGUCUUCGGCCUCUAAUUUAAUCACUUGAAAGCUCUAAGCUUGUCCAAUUUUUCCCCCAUGCCUAUACUGGUUGGUCGCGGUCUUGGUGGUAAUAAGCUGGCGUCAAUUUUUCCAGAAUUCAUAUCUAAUUGCUAUAACAUGAUUAACCUUGAUCUUUCAUUUAACAUGUUAACUGGUAAUCCCUUCAACAACUUGCGAAUCUUGGAUCUCUCGGACAAUGAAUUCACUGGUUACUUGCCAAUCCAAUAUUUUAAUAAUAUGAAACCAGUUGAUACUGUGAUUGAUUAUUACAACCUCUGUUCUAAAAGUCGGUGAUUAAUCACGAUUAAUUAAUCACUGAUUAAUCUAUGUUCCGUAGCUCGCCAAACUGAUUAAAUAUCCGAUUAUUCUAAUUAAUCCCCGAUUAAUCACCGAUCAAUGUAAUUAAUCUCCAAUUAAUCUUUAUUCCGAAACUUCACCGAUUAAACUCGAUUCCCACUUUUUACAACACUGAUUACAACAUAACAGGGAAUCAUGAUUAUCAAGCAUCUGUCUUGUUAACAUUGAAACAAAGAGAGCAUGAAGUGAAAGGAAUCCUUUAUAUUUACGAUGUCAACAGCCCUACUGUCAAAAUUCCUUUCAAGUCGGGGCUUUUUACGAUUAUUUGGUAAUUCAGUGUUGAACUCCGCUCAACUUAUAAUUAGAUAAUCGAACUCAAAAAUCUUGCAAUCAACAAAUAAAUUAUUGAAAACUUGCAAUUGAAUAAUGGCCGUCAAGUCACUUAACAAUACUAACCGAAAACGAACGUGACGGGCUGAUGUGUUUAAAAAAAUGCAUGAUGACUAUAUACGUGAUGUUUACGACCCUGACUAAUAUAUCCAACAAAUAAUACAUUCAACCUGAUCUAAUAAUGUAAUACAUCUACUUAAAUAUAUUUUCAUGCCAAAUAUUUAUAGAUUUGUUUUUACAAAAAUGAUUAGAGACUUUUGCAUAUAUAAAAAUUGAGAAUUAUUGCUUGACUAGACAAAAAUAGGUGAGUUGUGAUUAUAAUAAAUAUUUAUUUCUACGAUGUAGUUUUUAUUAGUUAUAUAUAAAAAAAAUCUUGCUCUAUUUUGAUACUAGUGCAAUGAUUACUUCAAUUUAUUUUUUAUACGAGUUAGUAAGAUAUAUGACUAACUCAUCUUGCACUCGUAUUAAUUGUCUUAUAUAAUAUUAAUAACAAAAAUAUGAGGCGGUGCUUAGUCAGAUGAUUUUAGUUGUUAAAAUAUUUUUUUGUUAUUUAUAGAUAGUGAAACUUGUCUCAUAUUUUAUCUAUUUUGUUUCGUUUCUUGAGAUUUCCAAAUAUUUAUUAGGACAUUGUACCAUGGUGUAUUUCAAGAUAUUAUUGUUAUUUAGAUAAUUAGUCAUAUUCAAUGAAUUUUGAGGACAAAAUUUAAAUAAGAGGAGAACAAUGUCAUAUCUCACGUAUUAGCAGUUUUAAUUAUUUUAUAUUUUUAUUUUAAAGAUAAGAUAAAGUUUAUUUAUUUAAUUGUUUUUAUCUUAAAAGCGAUUUUGAGUUGUUUGAGUUAGAUAUAUACUCCUACUGUGGUUCAACUAGUUUUGCCGUAAGUGAAUAAUUUCCGGUCAAUAUUUUGAAAUUUGUUGUUAUCUUCUAAUUAAGAUAAUUAAGGGGUUAAAUAGCUUUUGAAAAAUGUGAAAAAAAUCAAAAAAAUUGGGAAACCAAAAGUGGCAAGCUUUUUUUUUUUUGUUCUUUUUAAAUUUUCUAAAAUCUGGGGAAAAAAGAACUUGCCACCUAAUUUUUUCCAAAUUUUUUCAAAUUCUUUUCAGAUUUUUGAAUUUUUUCCCCAAUUUUUCCUCACUUUUUUCUGAUUUUUUUUGAAUUUAUUAAGAUUUUUUUUGUUUUUUCUGCUUAUUCUGAAUUUUUUAAGAUUUAUUCGCAUUUUUUUCAUAUUUUUAAAAAAUAUUUUUGAAUUUUCCGUUAAGUAAUUAAUGGAACUGACGGAGAGUGAUGCUUUUGAAAGUUUUUAAUUACUUGAUAAUGCGUUUGAAAAUUUUUUCAACAACAUGACCCAGUUGCAAGUUUCCGGCGAGGUUAGUGAUGAAUUAGUUAUUUAACUCUUAAUAAAAAUCUAUCUAAACAAUAUUAUAAAUAUAAUGUUAUGGGUUCGAUGAGUCGUGUAAAACAUGGAAGAAGUUUAGGUGGGGUAAAAAGAGCCUAGCUGUGUGAUUUCCAUUCUGUUAUACGUGAUAUACUGUAGUUGAUCAUCUCCUUUGUCCGCUUCAUCCUGUGCAACCUUAACCUUUAAGGAAAAACUUAUGAGAUUCUCUACUGCAUCUAAAUUCUUGUGUGAAGAAUGUGAAGAAAAAUGUUAGUCUCAGAUUAUUUUUCCUAAAAUGCUUGCAUGUUACAUUUUAUAUGUAUGUCCUGACUUUAAGUAUAAUUUAGCAUUUUUAUUUAGUAUUGUGUAAAAAUAAUAUAUUUUAUUCAGUCUUAUUAAAAAUAUAAUCAUGUUAUACUGUAAAAGUAUUUGUGAAUUUCUUUGUUACAUAUGUGUUUAAAUUAUUUUAUUUAUAUAUGUUUUACAAUUUUUUACAAAUAUAUAAGUUGAGUAUUGCAUAGGAAUAUAAUUACACGUUAGCAAAUAUGAUUAUGUGUAAACUGUUCUGCGUGCAUGUAUAUUGCUGCUAAGUUUUAAACUUCUUACUAACCGGAAUAAUUUUGACAGAUGUGUGGAACUUGAUUAAUUUAGUUGCACUAUAAGAGAAAGCGUUUUUGUCAAUAAAAAUUGUUAAGGAAAUUAGUCCGUUGGUAGUUCUCAACGGAUUUGUAACAAUUUGACUGGUCAAUGUUCUGUCAACCAAUUAGUAAUGAAAUACCCACACUUAUUUACCAACGAGAUGUUCUAUUAGGAAAUAUAGCCACACAAUGGAAUAGUAACAAAAGACCAAGGAAUGAGCAACAUACUAGCAACGAAAGUAUCUGUUAUUAAAUAUUCCCUUGAUAAAUACUAGACUUUUUAGCACUUUGGUGCAGUGGCGGAGCCAGCCAUAAACUUUAAUGGGGGCCAAAAAUAACUUUUUAAGACAUCAUAAAAGAUGAUAGUUUAUAAUCAAGCAUCUCCCAUUAUAUUUUGAAGUAUACUUUUAAUAAGAUUAAUAGUUUGAAAAACUCUUUCAACAUUGUCUGUUGCAACAUCAAAAUUAACUUACAUUAGUUAUAUGAAUUCAAAUAUCCAUAUCAAAUUUCGAGAUAUCGAAGAAAAGAAUAGAAAACGUGCAUGUUCUACUUUUUGAAUAGAAAGAAAAUAAAGGAAUAAUAGUGAACAACCAAGAAGGCAAGAAGUAAUCGAUGAUAACCAUAAAGCCCAGAAGAGGUGGAUGAUAGAAUGUCGUCCCAGCUAAUGUAUGUCUAUAUAUUAAUAUUAAAAACUAUAAAAUCUCUAGUGGGGUCCAGUGCCCCCACAUGCCUCUACAUGCCUCCACCACUGCUUUGGUGGCUUGUACUAUUUCAAAUUUGCACGUUAGUGGCCCACCUUUAAAAGUCAUCAAUUGUGUUGCUGAACUUAUUUUUUUUUAACACAUUAGGGGCUCUGCAUCAUAUCCGUUAAAUCGAAGUAACGGCGUCAAAUGAUCAAUACAUAUCUCCUCCUCCUCUUAUUUCCCUCCAAAUUAAAAACGAAACGGCUACCCCCUUUUCCGAAGCAAGAACGACGACGAAUUCCUGCUUACAGAGAUGAGUUGGUUCCGGCGUCUUAAAGAGGAUGCUGAUGUGUAUCAGCCUCGACAGUGCCCCGAUUACUGUGGUAAGCUCUUCAACUUUUCUUCUUUGUAGCAUAUGAAAUGAGUUUAAUUGACCAUUAUUUCAGUGUUUGUUGUUGUUAGUGGCUAGUUGUUUAGUAUUAUGGACCUGCAAUUGCUUUAUACUAUUAAAAUGGAAGAUUCUGCUUGUGGGUUUUUAAAAAUUAGGGCUUUUACAUAGUCCAAGAUUCGGUCAUUAUAAAAUCAAUUUAUGCCUGUUUUAGUAUAAUGCUUGUUGUUAGUGGCUAUUUGUUAAGUAUAGUGUUGUUUAUUGUAAAUAAAACUGUUGCUUUGCACUCUACAUUUGCAGAACCUGGUGAUUUUACCCUAAAAAUAUAUCAUGGGGCCGAUUGGGUAGAUAACCCUAGGGCAUAUGUGGGAGGUACAGUAGAUUUCUUUGACUUCUGUAAUGCUGAUCAGAUCAGCAUAAUUGAGAUAUAUAGUAUGUUGAAAGAGGUUGAUGAGUUUGGGUUUCACCAACUGUGGUAUAAGCUACCUGGCACUACAUUCGAUAGAGCUUUUGUACUAAAUAAUGAUGAGGAGCUAAUGACCAUGUGUGAGCUUAUAUCUGAUGUGGAUAAGUAUAUGGAGAUUUAUGUCACCACUAUGGCACAUCUAAGUACAGUGCCCUAUAGAGAUUUAGAGGUUGAAUUUGUUGAACCAACUCCUAAAGAAGCACCUGAAAAGAACAAUCCAUCACCUGAAAAGAUCAAUCCAGCACCUGAAAAGAUCAAUCCAGCACCUGCAAAGAUGUAUCCAGCACCUGCAAAGAGCAUUCCAACUGUGGGAAAUGAUGAUGAUCAGGAAGAGUUUGAGUUUGAUUUUGACAAUUGAUAGAAUAUAUUUUUGUAUAUAUUCUAUAUGAUUUUAUUCCCAUAUUUAAUUAUAUUUUGCACUGAUUUGGAUAUUUAUUUAAUAUAUUUUCAUGUUUUAUUGUAGGGAAUAAAGAAUUCCAAGUUGAGAAGGAUUUGAAGAUAAAUUAGCUAUUUUGGAGUUAAAUUCUAAAGAAAUUCGGAUUUAUUGGGUUUUACCCGAUUUCUGCACUGUUUGAGCCAUAUCUUGAGUUCCGGAUGUCGGAAUUGGACGUUCUUACAGCUCACGCGAAGCCCUUGAUAUUUCCUUUAAUUUAGAAGUGGCCCAGCAAGAAAAGUCCAACUGGAAAAGCCCGAAAACUGGACAGAACAGAAAGCUACGAAUUUUGAGACUAAAUCCUACUUGGUUUUGGAGUUUUAUUCAUAUAUUAGUUUUAAAUAUUAAAAGAGGUAUAUUAUUAGAGAUAGGAUUAGUUUUUAUCAUUGUACAAUAUUAGAGUAGGUUAGGGUUAGAGAGAAACUUAGAGGAGAGGCCAUUACUCUUUUUUGGAUGACAACAAUGAAGGUUUAUAAAGGUUUUCUUCUAUAGUUUUCUUCUCUUUACUUGUUAGUUUAAUUAUGUCUUUUAAUUAUUCUAGUUGUUUAAUUAGUAUCGAGUAGUGUGUUCUAGGGUUUAAGGGGAAGCCAUGUUUGCGUUAUGAUGUUGGCAUGAUUUAACAGUGAUUUGAUUGAUUGGUUAAUUCUAAUUGAUAUGUUUUAAUAUUGAUUUAUGUAAUCGGCCGAUAUCAUGAAUUGAUUCUAUGCGAAUAGGAGUAUGAUCGAGAGAUAUACGACUAGAGGCACACAUACAAUUAGCAGAAUUGAAUUUGAGUGCGAGAGCAUCAUUGAAUUUCUGAAAGCGUUAAUACUCGAGAGAGAUUAACAUUGCUUUAAUUAUCUGAUUAAUUGGAUUACUAAAAGUGAUUAUUUGUGUAAGCAUGUUUCGAGAGUGUUGAUACUUGAGAGAGAUUAACAAACUCUAGUUUCAUGACCGCUUUAAUUGCUUUAGCUUAGAGCCAGUCAUUGUCUAAGCAUGGUGGACCUGAUUGCCCUGGAUUUUUAACAUAUUAUUUUAGUGUCUAUUUAGUUAGUGUUAAUAUAAUAAUGUUUAUUUAGUUAAAAAUAUUUCUUUCGAUCAUCGUUGAUUUGGGAACAAUUGAAUGUAACUUAAUAAAAUUGAUAGCAUCUGUCUCCUCGAGGAUACGACCCGCAUUUGCCAGUCUACACUACAAUAGACACCGUGCGCUUGCGGUAGUUAUAAUUUAACACAUCAAGUUUUUGGCGCCGCUGCCGGGGAGACGGCUAGUUUCUAUUAGUUUUGUUUGGUUAUCUAGAUUGUUUCCUUUGCCUCGUUGGAACCCUUGUUCCAAUUGAGGCGGAUUUUACUCUGUUUUCUUGGCUGUGUUGUGUUUUUCAGGUUUACAAUGGACGGAGUUGAUAACUUUGCACGUCUAUCUUCCCUGAUCGAGGCAUAUACUCGUGAAAAUGCCUCAUUGAAUGCUACAGAGCCCACUACACGUCCACUGAGUAUCAACGAGAUGUCACAAGCUGCCCCGAAGACUUAUAACUUCUGUCAAGUUUGUGGUGUUCAGGGUCACUAUGGUUAUGAAUGUUCUUACAAUGUAUUUAAUUCUCAGAAUGCUCAGUUGGGACAUGUGAAUGAUUAUCAAGAAAGAUAUGAGUACAAUCACUAUUCUAAUUCUUGUGAUCAACAAUGGAUGGGUCAACCAGAUUUCUCUUACAUGGACAAUGAAUUUCAAAAUUUCUCAUAUCAUGAUCAACAACAAUUUCAGCAACAUCGUUAUGAAGAACCACCACUACAGCAAUAUGAUCAGUUUGAGCAGGAAUAUCAUCAACCUCAAUAUGAGCAACCUCAGUUUCAGCAGUAUCACUAUUCUCCACUUCAACAAGAGCUACAGGUUCCUUUAACCAAUGUAGAUGUGCCAUCGUAUCAGACGAAUGAGGUAUGUGAUAUGUUGAUAUAUAUGACCAAGAGUUUUGAGGAUGGUAUCAUGAACUUCCAGAAAUGCAUUGAUGAGAGUACCAUGAUGAUUAAAGAAUUAAAAGCUGAACAACUGAUGAUGGAAGGUCAAAUUGCACAAUUGUCUAGUUCUUCUUCUACAUGUCAAACCGAAUCCUCUCCACCUCCAUGUCUUCAAGUUGAAGAUGACAUAAAUACUAUCAUUCUUGCAAGUGAUAAAGACAGUGAUAGUUUUUCGAUCUGUGAUGAUGAUGCGCCUAUUGGUAAAGGGGAGGAUCAUGUCAUUGCCAAUGAAAUUGAUGAUGUUGUUGAUGUUGUGGACCAUGUGCGUGAUGAUGAGCUAAGUGAAGAAAGCAAUAUCGAGUUGGUAGUAGUUUCUCCUCCGCCUUGUGUGCUUAAAUUACCAUUCUUGAAAGGAAUCAACUUAAUCAAGGUGGAUCAACAAUUUGAUAUGAAAAACUUUGCUUUUACUCGAACCUCAGCUCCAAUAUUUGAGAGCACAUGUUUUAAAGUUGAUGUGAUGAUUGUCCAAGAUGAGAUUUCUCAGAAUAUUUCCUAUGAUCCAUUUCAAAAGGCUCUUACACCUCAAGUCUUGGAAGAAGGUGUUUGCAAUAUUGACUUUUUAUUCAUUGAAGCAAGAAGAAGCCAAGAGAUUCAACUAGCUCCUGCGAAAGUGAGGAGUUCUGAAAAACCACCACCGGAGCCUCCACCUCAUGUGAAUAUCAAGGGAGUUCAAUCUUUUGAUGGAUGUGAAUUCUAUCGUUGCUUUAUCAUAAAGUUCUCCAAAUCUAUGAAAUAUAUUGAUCAGUUGUUAUAUCUUGAUGCGACAAUUAAUUUUAUUAAUGCUUGUUUGGAGACUUUCUGCAGGAUAAAGACAACAUUUGAUGUUAAGGAUUUUAUUUUUGGUGGUGAGAUCAUGUUUGAGAAAGCGGAAACUCCGCCUUUUACAUAUUCUUUUUGGAGGUAAAAAGUCAAGCUAAUGACUCUAAAAGAGCGCUACUUGGGAGGCAACCCAAGGUCUCUAUUAGUUUAUUUAUAUAAUAUAUUUUUGUAUUUUUUUAGGAGCUUAAAAUUUUUAUUUUCAUUUUUUUUACUCCCAUAAGAUGCCUUGAUGAAUUUGUGUGAAGUGUUUUCAGAUAUUAUAUCCAAUCACUCAUGCGGCUCCUUUUUAAAGUUCNNNNNNNNNNNNNNNNNNNNNNNNNNNNNNNNNNNNNNNNNNNNNNNNNNNNNNNNNNNNNNNNNNNNNNNNNNNNNNNNNNNNNNNNNNNNNNNNNNNNNNNNNNNNNNNNNNNNNNNNNNNNNNNNNNNNNNNNNNNNNNNNNNNNNNNNNNNNNNNNNNNNNNNNNNNNNNNNNNNNNNNNNNNNNNNNNNNNNNNNNNNNNNNNNNNNNNNNNNNNNNNNNNNNNNNNNNNNNNNNNNNNNNNNNNNNNNNNNNNNNCAUAUCUUCUGUNCUUUUAGUAAACAGUAGAAGAAGAGCUGUGGUGCUACGAUGUCUAGCUGCGGCUCCGGAGCUUCUGCCAAGCACAAUUUGUUCGCGCUAGUUUUUCACAAUCUACUUGAUAACUUGAAGCAGAGCUCCUAACUCCCAAGAUCAUCUGUUCCCUGUUCUGCUACAUGGAGUCCACGCACCCAGCCCAUUCAAGUCCAGAAGCCCAUGCACGGAGCCUGUUCUCAAUUCAGCCCAUGCUCCAAGCCCAAGACCACACCACCUGGGCCCAGUACAGGGGGUGCAUCUCAGCAACAGAGGCCCAGCCCACCAGUUGAUCCUCGAAGUCCAGCUGCUUCAGUCCAGUAAAAGUCUGCGUGUGUAUGCCUACAAAAAAGAACUGUUGCUGGUAGGAAUCGAAGACGGGUCAAUUACAAAGCAGAUCUCAGGAGCCACCUACCAACCACUGGGCCAACUGAUUCUUUUGUUGAGGAAACGCAUCCAGUUUAACAAAAACUUGAGAAGUCAAGAGCCAAUUCAACACUCAACAGCAUUUCAGGGGAGUAUUCCUUUUAACCACUAUUGUGUAAUUAUAUUAUUAUAUUUAUAUAUUUCUAUCAUAUUUGUUCAUUGAGGACAAUGAACCACUUUAGUGUGGGGAUGGUUUCUCAAUGAUAAAAAAUUAUAUAUCAUAAAAUUCAAAAAAAUAGAAAAAUUAAAAAAAAAUUGUAUAUUGCCAUGUCUUAAAUUAGGAAAUUCAUGUUAGUUGCAUUAUAUUAGAGCUAGUUACUUAAUUUUGUAUGCCAUUUUUUAGUAGAUUUUUUUCUUCUUCUUUCUUUUAGGUUACAUAAUUCAUGAAAGUAUAUAAUACCGAGUUAAUUUCUCAUGAUGAGUUUAUUUGCAUAAUUAUUUGGCUAGUAGUCUUGAUCAUAUGUGAUGUCUUGCAUGCUUAGAAAUUGCUUGUGCGGAAAUUUUAAAUACACUAUAAAAUGCUCUAGAGACAAGACUGAGACUAACUUAAUUCUUGAGUUUUAUCUAUGAGUUGAGUGUAGAAUUUUGACUAUUCCCUUUUAAGCUUAGAGUAUGUAAAUCUUAAGUUUAGGGGAGUUUUAGGAUGUAUAUGCCUUUCUAGAAAAAUGAAAAAAAAAAUAGAAUAUUGCAAAUAAAGUAUCGAGUACUCCUUUGAGAUCAACGGGUGGUAAUAUUUGAAAGGGACGAUCCAUGUACUUGUGCUGGUAUUAAGUGCAAUUGUACUAGAAAUAAAUUUUCUUGGUGACUUUUCACAACCCUUGGUUACUGGAGAAUUACUUGACUUAAAAAAAAUAGAGAAAAAAAAUGAGCUAGCAAAGUCUUAUGGUGGUCGUAACUCACUUACCAUGAGAAGCUUCCCAACCUUUGACUGAGCAUGAAAAAAAAAAGUAGAAAAUAUAAGAGAGGCAUAGAAAUUCCUUUGCGACCCUGAGCUGUAGUUGACUCUAAUGUAACGAAGCGUUUAAGCAUUAUUCUGAUAAACGACUCAUGGUUAAGACUCUGUUGAACUUUGUUGGUGUCUGUUUUGUUUCAUUAGAGAGCAUGUUGAACACACACGAUUCACUCCGUACUUGCAGCGGAAAAGUUGCAUGACUAAUGUGUGAGAUAGAUGAAUGCCUUGAAUGUUGCUUAUUCUGAAGAUUAUUUGUUAACGAGGUUGAUGCUUUCAUGAUUGUAUUAUAUGCAUUUUCAUUUAGAUUGCAUUCAUAGUAGUUGCAUGUUUAAGACCGGUAGAAAAUAAUGAAUUUUGUGGGUAGAUUCGCUAUAAACCCUCACGAGACAAAACUCGUCCUACUAGGGCUGCCUAGAGGUUUAACGGCUUGUUGCAUGCGCUCAAUGCAAUCGUGUCAUCUACGAAAGUGGUGUUAGUUAGUUAGUUAGGAUAUUUUUAUUUCUUUUAUUUGCCCGAGGACGUGCAAAAGUUAAGUGUGGCGGAUGUUUGAUAGGGUAUAUAUUUACAUAUAUUCUAGAUGAUUUUAUUCUCAUAUUUAAUUGUAUUUUGCAUUGAAUUGGAUAUUUAUUUAAUAGAUUUUAAUGUUUUAUUGCAGGAAGCAAGGAGUUCCUAAACUUGGAGGAAAUUGGAAUAAAAAGCUUAAUUUGAAGAUUAAUUAGAAGGAAAUUCGGAUUUGUUGAAUUGCUUGCACUUGAAUCACUGUUUGGGCCAUAUCUUGAGUUCUAGAAAUCAGAAUUGGGUGAUCUUACAGCCCACGCGAAGCUUAGAGAAUUUUCUUUAAUUCAGAGAUGGUCCAAUAUCCAAAAUCCAACAGAAUCAGCCCAGGAAUAGGCAGAAAACAGAGCUACGAAUUUUCUUGAAGAAACCUAUUCUGUUUAGGAAACUGUUUUGUAUUUUCUUGUAAGUAUUAAAAUCAAAUAUAUUAGAGAGAGGGAUGGGUNNNNNNNNNNNNNNNNNNNNNNNNNNNNNNNNNNNNNNNNNNNNNNNNNNNNNNNNNNNNNNNNNNNNNNNNNNNNNNNNNNNNNNNNNNNNNNNNNNNNNNNNNNNNNNNNNNNNNNNNNNNNNNNNNNNNNNNNNNNNNNNNNNNNNNNNNNNNNNNNNNNNNNNNNNNNNNNNNNNNNNNNNNNNNNNNNNNNNNNNNNNNNNNNNNNNNNNNNNNNNNNNNNNNNNNNNNNNNNNNNNNNNNNNNNNNNNNNNNNNNNNNNNNNNNNNNNNNNNNNNNNNNNNNNNNNNNNNNNNNNNNNNNNNNNNNNNNNNNNNNNNNNNNNNNNNNNNNNNNNNNNNNNNNNNNNNNNNNNNNNNNNNNNNNNNNNNNNNNNNNNNNNNNNNNNNNNNNNNNNNNNNNNNNNNNNNNNNNNNNNNNNNNNNNNNNNNNNNNNNNNNNNNNNNNNNNNNNNNNNNNNNNNNNNNNNNNNNNNNNNNNNNNNNNNNNNNNNNNNNNNNNNNNNNNNNNNNNNNNNNNNNNNNNNNNNNNNNNNNNNNNNNNNNNNNNNNNNNNNNNNNNNNNNNNNNNNNNNNNNNNNNNNNNNNNNNNNNNNNNNNNNNNNNNNNNNNNNNNNNNNNNNNNNNNNNNNNNNNNNNNNNNNNNNNNNNNNNNNNNNNNNNNNNNNNNNNNNNNNNNNNNNNNNNNNNNNNNNNNNNNNNNNNNNNNNNNNNNNNNNNNNNNNNNNNNNNNNNNNNNNNNNNNNNNNNNNNNNNNNNNNNNNNNNNNNNNNNNNNNNNNNNNNNNNNNNNNNNNNNNNNNNNNNNNNNNNNNNNNNNNNNNNNNNNNNNNNNNNNNNNNNNNNNNNNNNNNNNNNNNNNNNNNNNNNNNNNNNNNNNNNNNNNNNNNNNNNNNNNNNNNNNNNNNNNNNNNNNNNNNNNNNNNNNNNNNNNNNNNNNNNNNNNNNNNNNNNNNNNNNNNNNNNNNNNNNNNNNNNNNNNNNNNNNNNNNNNNNNNNNNNNNNNNNNNNNNNNNNNNNNNNNNNNNNNNNNNNNNNNNNNNNNNNNNNNNNNNNNNNNNNNNNNNNNNNNNNNNNNNNNNNNNNNNNNNNNNNNNNNNNNNNNNNNNNNNNNNNNNNNNNNNNNNNNNNNNNNNNNNNNNNNNNNNNNNNNNNNNNNNNNNNNNNNNNNNNNNNNNNNNNNNNNNNNNNNNNNNNNNNNNNNNNNNNNNNNNNNNNNNNNNNNNNNNNNNNNNNNNNNNNNNNNNNNNNNNNNNNNNNNNNNNNNNNNNNNNNNNNNNNNNNNNNNNNNNNNNNNNNNNNNNNNNNNNNNNNNNNNNNNNNNNNNNNNNNNNNNNNNNNNNNNNNNNNNNNNNNNNNNNNNNNNNNNNNNNNNNNNNNNNNNNNNNNNNNNNNNNNNNNNNNNNNNNNNNNNNNNNNNNNNNNNNNNNNNNNNNNNNNNNNNNNNNNNNNNNNNNNNNNNNNNNNNNNNNNNNNNNNNNNNNNNNNNNNNNNNNNNNNNNNNNNNNNNNNNNNNNNNNNNNNNNNNNNNNNNNNNNNNNNNNNNNNNNNNNNNNNNNNNNNNNNNNNNNNNNNNNNNNNNNNNNNNNNNNNNNNNNNNNNNNNNNNNNNNNNNNNNNNNNNNNNNNNNNNNNNNNNNNNNNNNNNNNNNNNNNNNNNNNNNNNNNNNNNNNNNNNNNNNNNNNNNNNNNNNNNNNNNNNNNNNNNNNNNNNNNNNNNNNNNNNNNNNNNNNNNNNNNNNNNNNNNNNNNNNNNNNNNNNNNNNNNNNNNNNNNNNNNNNNNNNNNNNNNNNNNNNNNNNNNNNNNNNNNNNNNNNNNNNNNNNNNNNNNNNNNNNNNNNNNNNNNNNNNNNNNNNNNNNNNNNNNNNNNNNNNNNNNNNNNNNNNNNNNNNNNNNNNNNNNNNNNNNNNNNNNNNNNNNNNNNNNNNNNNNNNNNNNNNNNNNNNNNNNNNNNNNNNNNNNNNNNNNNNNNNNNNNNNNNNNNNNNNNNNNNNNNNNNNNNNNNNNNNNNNNNNNNNNNNNNNNNNNNNNNNNNNNNNNNNNNNNNNNNNNNNNNNNNNNNNNNNNNNNNNNNNNNNNNNNNNNNNNNNNNNNNNNNNNNNNNNNNNNNNNNNNNNNNNNNNNNNNNNNNNNNNNNNNNNNNNNNNNNNNNNNNNNNNNNNNNNNNNNNNNNNNNNNNNNNNNNNNNNNNNNNNNNNNNNNNNNNNNNNNNNNNNNNNNNNNNNNNNNNNNNNNNNNNNNNNNNNNNNNNNNNNNNNNNNNNNNNNNNNNNNNNNNNNNNNNNNNNNNNNNNNNNNNNNNNNNNNNNNNNNNNNNNNNNNNNNNNNNNNNNNNNNNNNNNNNNNNNNNNNNNNNNNNNNNNNNNNNNNNNNNNNNNNNNNNNNNNNNNNNNNNNNNNNNNNNNNNNNNNNNNNNNNNNNNNNNNNNNNNNNNNNNNNNNNNNNNNNNNNNNNNNNNNNNNNNNNNNNNNNNNNNNNNNNNNNNNNNNNNNNNNNNNNNNNNNNNNNNNNNNNNNNNNNNNNNNNNNNNNNNNNNNNNNNNNNNNNNNNNNNNNNNNNNNNNNNNNNNNNNNNNNNNNNNNNNNNNNNNNNNNNNNNNNNNNNNNNNNNNNNNNNNNNNNNNNNNNNNNNNNNNNNNNNAUGAUGUCAAAUUACUUAGUCUUUAAUGGUAUAUUUAUUAGAAUUAUGAAACUUAUUUUAAAAAAUUAUUUUGGACGAUCCAAACUGUAUGAAUGUUAUUUUAACAUGUUAAUAUUGAUUAAAAUUGUUUUUAAAAAAAAAUUAGUUGUAUUUUAUGUGUGAAUUUUUAGUCAAAUACGAUAAAAUAUUUAUUUAGCUUGUAAUGAAAUAUUAAAACCCUACUUCAAAAGAAACUUGUCUAAAACUACCUAUAAGUGUUAGAGAAUCAUCGAUUUAGUUAUCAAAUUAGUUAUCAUAAGGGUUUUACUCCGCUUUUCUCUGGUAUGAUGUUGAUUUUUGGGGUUUGAUUGGUCGAUUUUCAUGUUUUAUAAGUUAUGUGAGUUCGAUUUUGAUGUUUUUACAAUUAGGUUUAUGUAUGUUCUUAUACAGGUUUCAUGUUCAUGUUUUGAUUUGUUGAUUUCCUAUUUUUCAUAUUUUGUUGAUUAGUUAUUUGUGUGGGUUUUGAACUUUGAUGAGUGUGUAUGUAAUCUCCUGUUUUUUUUUCAUUUUUCUGGUUCGAACACUUCGAUUAGUAGCUGGAAAAACAGCUGAUGCGGCAGUAGCGGCUAGCGAGAUGGAUAACAAGAAAAGGAUGAUUUCGAGGUCAUCUCGUGCAAGUCUUCAGAUAUAGUUUUGUUCCUUUAUGUUUUUAAUUGACAUAAAUUUUCACAUUUGAUGAUUAUAUUAUGGGGGAUUCUGGGUAUACUUGUAUAUAAUCUAGCAAGUUAUUAUAAUUCUGGACGGGGGGCUUAUUGUGAAAUUAAAUUGAGGGAUAAGUUGUGUUAUUGGUUCUAGUGGAUUAAAUUUAUGUUGACACUUGAUAUAUGCAUUGAUGUCGUAAAAUAAGUUGCACAUCAAACUAUUUGGCUUGUUUAAGUUGUAUGGAGUAAGGCUGUACGCGGAUCGGAUCGGUUCGGUUGGAGGGUAAUAACCAAACCAAACCGCAACUUACGGUUUUCUAAAAUCUCAAACCGCGACCAUACUGUUGGUUAAAAAAACCCAACCAAAUCCAUCCACGUAAUUGCGGUUGGUUGCGGUUCAACCGCUAAAAUAGUUAUAACAAAGAAAAUAUAUAAGUUAUCGCUUAAAAUCUUGCAUAAAGUACAGGCUUUAACUCAAAAAUAUAUAAUUUAUCACUUAAAAUCUUGAAUAAAGUUAAUACAAUAAAUCUGAUUACAUAUUACAAAAGCAAACUAAUCCGGAAAUAUAUAACUUGAAGCAGAGCUUCAAGUUAAUGGUUAUUAAAAAUUUCAUCCGCGACCGCCCACAUUUUACGGUUAUCCAUAAUACACGGAUCGGUUGCAGGUGGUUGUUGCGGUUAAUGCGGUUGAGCGGAUUCAACGUACAGAGCCCUAUGAAGUAUGGUUGCCAAGCAUUGAUUGGUUGUACACGUAUAAACAAAAUGAUAUUUUAAUAUUUAAACAAAACAAUACAGUCAUAAACAGAUCGUGUCGGGCUGGACUGAUUGUGAUUUUCCUUUUUGGAACUCGUACUCGGCAUCUUCCAAGCGAAUGAUAUUUAGAAGUUUGUUGCUAGUAUACUCCAUGUCAUAAUAAGAGUUCUUUAGAUUUUUUAUAUGUAAUUCGAAGUAUAAAAAACAUAUUUUAACAUAUUAUUUUUAAAUUUUUUAUACAUAAAAAUAUAACAUCUAUAUUUUUAUUUAAAAAAAAAUUUGAAAUAUAAUAUAUGGAUGCAUGUCUUUUUUAUACGUGAAAUUACAUGUAAAAAAUUAAAAGACUCUUAUUUUGAGUAAGAGAGAAUAUGAUGUACCAUAAAGUCAUCGAUCUUUUGUUAUCAAAUAAAUGUGAUAUUUAAUUAUUUAAGAGCAAGUCCAAAAGUAUCUUAGUUAAAGUCCUAAAUAUAAUAUAAAAUAUUACGUUCCGGUGAUUUAGGAUAUAUUUUACUAACUUGGACUCCAACAAUGUGUCUUAUUCUCAUAAGAAGUUUAAUAUUUUAUUAUUAAAAACUCUCUUUCAUCAUUAAAGCAUAAUAUAAAAGUAGAGAGAGAAAAAAAGUGUUGAUAAGAAUUAAUAAUAAAAUAUGGGAUAGGGUAAGGAGAGAUGUGCCUCAAAAAUAGGGCUUGAGGAGGUUGUCCUAGUGAUAUAAGGGCAAGGAGAUCAACUUUUUACAUCAAAUGCCUUAAAUAACAAUUUAGGACAUAAUAUUGGGCAUCUGCUGGACUUGCUCUAAGUUGUUACUCCUUUAUUAGGUGUGGACACGGAGACGAAGAAGUAAAAGAUGAGUACAGUUAAAUGAAGAUGUGGUAAAAUAAUGUGACCCAUUUAUAUUUAAUAAUACAUUUGAAAUAGUGGAGGAAAGUAACGAGUGUAAUAACGUUUAUAUUAUUAUAGCAUAUAGAUAGCAGAAGAAAGCAAUGGGUAUAAAAGUGUAUUAUAUUAUUAAAAUUACUAUUUUUGAAAUGUUUAGAAAUAAUGGGGCAAUCAAAAAGAAAACUGUAUAAAAAUGGACGAGAGAAUACAAUUCAAGAAGUAAUAUAUCUCAAUUCAAACUAGGUAAUAUAUUUAUGAAUUAUAUUAAAAAAAAUUUGACAUUCAAAUAUAAAAAUUUAUUUUAUCAUCUUAACAAUGGAAUAUUCGAUUAUUAACUUUCGUAAAUAACAUUAAUUUUUCAUUAUAAUAUACUCUAAACUUUUAUUUUAUGUGCCUGUUUGUUUACAAGAAGCUGGAGUCCUACUUCUCUUGACUCGUUUGUGUAAAAACGUAAAAAGUGCUUUUAAAAAGUACUGAGAAGGAAAUGGAAGUAGAAAAUGCUAGUUUUUCUUUAUAAUAUCUAUUUCUUUUCUAGACACUUUAAUAAUUUAUAUAUAUUAAUUUAUUUCUCACUUAUACUCCAUUUUUUUAUAGAGAACUUCUUUUAAACUAAUCGGCUCCUAUAAUCAGUAGUUUCUCAAUUUUAACAGGAAUAAGAGCAUGUUUAUCUGAGCUUAAAGCCCGGGGUUUAUAUCAUCUCUGGCUUUAAGCUGAAAAAUGUAUGUUUGUGUAUUAAGUCGGAAGUCGGCUUAAAGUCGGAAAUAAGUCAAAAAUUGACCUAAAACCAGAAGUUAGUUUGAGAUACUUUUCUCGGUGACUAAUUUUUUUUUUAGCCAUUUUUUGAUAAAAAUUAUUCUUAAAUCACAAAUUACUCAUAAAUCACUUUUAUUAUUAUUAUUACUAUAUUUUUAAUAACUUAUAAGUUAUUAAUAAAUCAAAAUUAAUCAAACAAAUAUUUUAAGUUCUCAUAAGAGUUUAUGAGAUAAGUAACGUUAAGUCAUGAAUCAACUGAACGGGAUGUAAGUCUUCUUCUCCCCGAGUCAUCAGCAGACUUUUUCCAUGUCUUCUGAGCCCCCAUUGGCUCACAAUUGGCCCAAAAAAUAUUUGGUUAUGCAUUGCUAUUCACACACUUAGACAUCAAAAUUUAUCAUCCGACAGGCGACAGCUAACUGCACACUAUUUUUCCCACAAGCUGAAAAAUCAACGAUCAAUUAAUUUUUCUUAUCAAUUAAUAAAGUUAUGAUUUCACGUACACGGCAGGCAAAAUGCUAAUAAAUAGACGAGUGCAGUAUAGUAUGGGUUCAUGAUCACCUUGAGAUUUAAUUGAAAAAUAUUAUGGUGAUAUAGAUUAAAUUAAAUUAUAAUAUCUUGAAAAGUUAUAAAUAAUUUUAAUUACUAAUAAUAUUUAUUUGUACAUUUAAAUAUUUUUAUAAAAACACAAAAAUAGCAUUAUACUCAUUUAAGUUUCUCGUAUCCGCCUCUCUUCUUGGAGAUUGUGGAUUUGCGAUAUUUAUAUUGAUUAUUAUAGGAAAAUGUUAUUUCCAGAGCAAACAUUUUUAUUUCCGGAGCAAAUUCAAACAAAUUUUUCCAAAUUGUUCUGGAAAUUAAAAUAUUGAUAUGGAUAUAACAAUUCCCUUAUUAUAUCCUAUGUAUAUUACAUUAAUGCAAUUAACAUGGUUGAUUGUUUUAGUAUAUAAUCAUAUUACUGUGACCUUUUAGUAUAUAAUUAUAUUAUUUUUGUUAUAUUUUAUGCAUCUAGAAACAAUUUUUUUAUGAUAUUUAUUAUAUUAAUUAUAGUAAAAGAUAUAAUUUUGUUUAAAAAAUUGAAUAAAACUAAGAGGGAUAGCCUACGUCUCUCCGAGUCUUCGAGGACUCAUUCCAAGUCCGAGAGGACCACAGCCUCAACCUUUAAGAGAUGUGAAAGUAGCUUGAGAGUGAUAUAAAUUUAUUUUUGACAAUAAAAUUUAAUAAUCAAAUAAAUUAAAUUAAAUUAAACUAGUUUAUAAUCGAUUAAAAAUAUAUAAAUCAAAAUUAUUCCCGAAUUAUGAUAACAAUUAAAAUCAUUUUAAAAGUUGCAUAAAUCAAAUCCAAAUCGAACAAAUUCCCCUAACACUAAAAUGUAGUUGCUUUAUUGUAGAUAAAAACAGUAUAAUAAUAGUAUUGAUGAAAAAUCAAAUUCAUCAAAUAAGUUUAUAAAAAAUACAUGAUUUUAAUUUUAAAAAAAAAACAUGAUUUUAGUGUGUUGUAUUAGUAGUGUGUCCACGCAUUUAUAUAUUAAAAUCUAUCCUCUAAAAACUAUCGAUCUAUUUACACAACUAUUGAUCUGUCGUGCAACAAAUUCCAGGGCGAAGUUCCAAAGAGAGCUUAAAUGGCUUGCAUUGCUCAAUCUAUCUCAUAAUAGUCUUAACGACAUAUGUUUUGAAUUAUUAUUAUGAUUUCAACAAUAUUUUCAAACAUUUCUUAAUAUGUAUUUUCAAAGAAUUCUCAAGCACUUGAACAUUUGGACCGGUUCUUUCGAAGCCAGGCAAUGCACAAAAAUGUCCAAAAAUGAAUAAAUUAAGAGAGAGUAGCUCACCCUUUCAAAGCCUUCCAGGACUCAUUCCAAGUCUUCGGAGGACCACUGCCUCCCCCUUUCAAAGAUGUGAUAGUAGCUCGAGAGUGAUAUAAAUUAUUUUCCCGACAUUAAAAAUAAAAAAUCAGAUUAAAUUAAUCAAUAAUAACUUAAGGAUGAAAUCCAAAUUAAUCCUAAAUUUUGAUAAUAUAUAAAAAUUAUAAUUAUAAAUUAUAUAACCAAAUCAGAAUUGAAUUAACUUACUUGGCACUAGAAUUGCUAAAGACAGUAUAAUAAUUUAAUUGAUGAAAAGUCAAAGUCUUCUAAUAAAUCCAUAAAGAAUAUGAUAAUAUGAAAAUUAUAAUUGAAAAAUCAAAAUCAAUAGUGUAUUGGAAUAGUGUUCACACACUUAUAUAUCAAAAUUUGUGGUCCAAAAACUAUAGCACAAUAUCCUAAAUACAUCACAUUAAAUAAUAGCACAAAAAUAUUCAAUAAAUAAUUGAUUUCAUUCAUAAAUUUGUUAUUUUAAAAACUAAUAAUUUGGUUGAUGUUAACCUAUAUUUUAUAUAUAAUUUCGUCUUAUUUUAUUUUACUAGAAACAAUAUUUUUAUAAUAUUUAUUACAUUAAAUAUAUUAAAAGAUAUAAUUUUAUUAAAAAAAUUGAAUAAAAUUAAAAGGAUAAGUCUCGGCCUCUCCAAGUCUACAAGACUCAUUUCACUACAAGAAAAAUGCAUAAAAGCGACCACCUAAAUGCGUGAAUGAAAAAAUAAUUUUAGAAAAACGAAAAUAAUCAUUCGUGACAAGACUAGUUAAAAAUAAUUGUUUAAUUUUUUUGACCAUUAUGAGAAGACACUAUUAAGUCGUUAUUUUUUAUUUCUUCACAUAAUUAAAAUCAACACAUAUUAAGAUAUUUAUGAUUGAAUGGUGAAAAAAAUAAAUCAAAUAUCAUAGAUCACAAGACUAGUUAUUUAAAAUUUUUUAAUUAAUCUUUACUAUUAUAAAAAUAUAUAAAUAAAUAUUUAUUUUUAUUUCUCCACAUCACAAAAAUAAACUCAUGUUAACAUUUAUGUGUGACUCGUGAACUUUUUUAUAAAAAUCAUAAAAUAAUUAAUACUGGCAAAAGCGACCGGCUAUAAAAUGGUAGCUUUUGUUUUUAUAUUUUUUUACUUCUCUUAGGCGGGAAAAUUCCCGCUCAAACACAUGAAAGUUAAAAGCGACCGCUAGACUUAGCCGGUUGCUUUUAUAUUUAAAAGCCACCAAACAAAAGCGACCCCUCGUAAAAGCCACCAAACAAAAGCGACCGCCAAUAAAAGCUACCAAACACGGUCGCUUUUGUUUAUCAGUCAAAUCAAAUUUCUAUUUUGAGUAAAAGCCACCGCUUUCGGUGGCUUUUAUACUUGGUCGCUUUUGUUUGGUGGCUUUUAGUGUUUUUUCUUGUAGUGUUUCAAGUCCACCGAGGGCCUCAACCAUUGAGAGAUGUGAAAGUAGCUUGAGAGUGAUAUAAAUUAUUUUCAUGACAAUAUAAUUUAAUAUCCAAUAUAAAUUAAUUAAAUUAGUUAAUAAUGAAUCAAGACUAAUCAUGAAUUAUGAUAAUAAUUAAAUAAAUUAUAAAAUUAAAUUAUACAAAUAACACUAAACCUUAGUUACUUUAUUGGUAAAAUAAAUAUAAUAUAAUAAUUAAAUUGAUGAAAAAUCAAAAUCAUCUAAUAAAUUCACAAAAAAUAUAUGAUCAUUAGUAUAUUAUAUUAGUAUCCACACACUUAUAUUUCAAAAUCUAUCCUACAAAAUUAUCAUCUCUGUAAACUAGCCACAAAAAAUAAAAAUUUAAAGAUAUUAGAUAUUUAGUUAUUUUCAUUAUAUAAUUUUUCCACACUAAAUAACAAAAUAUCUUUAUCAAAUUAUUAUUUAUGAAUUAAAUAUUCAAGUUAUAAAUUGAAGUGUGCAGUAUGAUAUCAGAUUCACAUAACCCAGUUGAUCAGGAGAAACAUGGCCUACUCUGCAAAGCCUUCUCACCUUCUUCUCUUUGUUUUCUUUCUCUCAUCACUUGAAUGCAUUCUUGCAACAACACGAGAAGGAGAAGCUCUUGUGAAGUGGAAGAAUAGCCUAGCCCCUUCUUCUUUUCUCGACUCUUGGUCACUCACCAAUCUCGAUAAUCUUUGUAAUUGGACUGGCAUUACUUGUAACUCUGCAGGUUCAGUCUCUAAGAUUAACCUUUUUGAGAAACAACUUGAUGGAAUGUUGUCCGAGUUUGGUUUCACUUCAUUUCCAAAUCUCAACAAUCUCACCCUUGCAAACAACUUCUUCUCGGGUCCAAUACCGCCAGCCAUUGAGAAUUUAACACAGCUUCAAUAUCUUGAUUUGAGAAAUAAUUAUCUAGAUGGUCCCAUUCCGUUCCAGGUUAGCCAUCUUCAGAGCUUGCUCAUCUUAAACCUGUCACAGAAUGCAUUGCAAGCUCCAAAUUGGUCCCAUUUCUCUCCCAUGCCUUUCUUGCGCAUCCUCAACCUCAGUUACAAUCCUCUUGCGUCGAAAUUCCCAUAUUUUAUAUCCAAUUCUCAUAGCCUGACUCACCUUAGCCUUAAUUAUAACGAGUUUACUGGUGAUUUAGUACGUGAAUCAGUAUUUGCCAAUCUGCAUAAUCUUGAAGUCCUCAGUCUUGUUGGCAAUUCUUUUGAGGGGUCAUUUCCGCCAGAUAUAUUCAAGCUUUCCAAAUUAAAACGUCUUGCCCUGUCAAGUAACAAAUUUUCAGGUUCAAUUCCCAAUGACUUAAGGUUGCUUCAUGAUCUUGAAUCCCUGUAUUUAGGCAACAAUUCCUUUGAAGGACCGCUUCCACCAAAUAUAUUCAAGCUUUCAAAAUUAAAAAAUCUUGUUAUUUGGAGUAAUAAGUUUUCAGGUUCUGUUUCCAAUGAUAUAGGUUUGCUUUCUGAGCUUGAAACCCUCGAUCUUAACUCUAAUUUUUUUGAGGGGCCGCUUCCGCCAAAUGUAUUCAAGCUCUCCAAACUAAGGUUUCUUCACCUCUGGGGUAAUAACUUUUCAGGUUCUAUUUCCAAUAAUAUAGGUUUGCUUUCUGAGCUUGAAACCCUCGAUCUUAACUCUAAUUUUUUUGAGGGGCCGCUUCCGCCAAAUGUAUUCAAGCUCUCCAAACUAAAGUUUUUUGCCCUUCGUGAGAAUAACUUUUCAGGUUUUAUUUCUAAGGAUAUAGGUUUGCUUUCCCAACUUGAAAGCCUCUAUCUUGGCUCUAAUUUUUUUGAGGGGCCGCUUCCCCCACAUAUAUUUAGGCUCUCCAAAUUAAGAGAUCUGGACCUCUCAGACAAUAGAAAUUUAUUUGAAGGAAGUAUUCCUAUUGGACUGGGACUCUUGACUAAUUUCAGCUUCUUAGAUCUAAAUUCCAAUAAUCUCGGUGGCUAUAUUCCAUCUGACAUUGGAAACCUGAAGCUACUAGUAUAUCUUGAUCUCAGUUCUAAUCAAUUGACUGGACAGCUUUCAAAGAUCAUUUCUAAUCUCACAAAUCUUAUAAGUCUUGAUGUAAGUUAUAAUAGUUUUAGUGGAAAUAUUCAGAGUGACUUGUGGAACUUCCCUAAGGAAUAUAACAAUCAUCCAACUUUGGAAUACAUCGCUUUUAAGUGGGAACCAUUUUACAGGUAUAUUUUCUCUAUAUAUCUUUUCCUUUUCUCAUAUGUAACUAAGCUAGUAAUCUGAUUAUUGCUGUUUUACCAAAUUUUAACAAUCUUGACAGGUGAGCUUCCAACAACAAUUUGCAAUGUCACUUCCCUUUCAAUUCUUGAUUUGUCAAAUAAUGAAUUAAGUGGUGAACUUCCAAACUGUUUCGGGAAUCUUGCUGAUGGAUUGCUUUACAUUAAUCUUGCUAAUAAUCAGUUUCGAGGAACAAUACCAACUACUUUCUCCAGGAGUUGUCAGCUGACAUGCAUAUCUAAACAUGGAUAAUAAUGAGUUUGAAGGAUUGAUGCCCCCAUCUUUGGCGAACUGUAAGCACUUGAAAAUUCUUGAUAUAGGCAAUAAUAAAAUAGGUGGUACAUUUCCGUCAUGGCUUUAUGCACUUGGAGAGCUAGAAGUUCUUGUCUUGCGAUCAAAUAAACUCUAUGGUACAAUAAGUGGAAGGAGCACAGAAGAUCCCUUCCCCAAGUUGCGGAUUAUGGAUUUGUCCAACAAUCAAUUCACAGGCCAUUUGCCAAUUCAAUACUUUAAGAAUAUGAAAUCAACUGAUAAUUUGUAUCGUUUUCAGAAUGUGACAGCAGUUUUUACUAUCCAUUAUGAAGCAGCAGUCUCAUUAACUGUGAAGGGAACAGAGUAUGAAGUGACAAAUAACCUUCAUAUUUACACAGCUAUUGAUCUGUCGUGCAACAAAUUUCAGGGUGAAAUUCCAAAAGUUAUUGGAGAGCUUAGAUGGCUUGCAUUGCUCAACUUAUCGCAUAAUAGUCUGACAGGACAUAUCCCGUCAUUGCUGAGAAAUAUGAAAGAACUCCAAUCUUUAGAUUUGUCCUCAAAUCAACUGACAGGGGCUAUUCCACCUCAGUUAACUGCACUGACAUUUCUAGAAGUCUUAAACCUCUCGGGAAACCAUCUUAGUGGAGAGAUUCCUCAGAAAGGACAAUUCAGCACAUUCAACAAUGAUUCUUAUCUAGGAAACUCCGCAUUAUGUGGAUCACCAUUGAUGAAGAAAUGUGCAAACACAGCAUCACCUCCACAAGAAGUCGGAAAUGGUGAUGAAGAUGAUGCUGGAGAUGAAUUGACAUGGGAAGCAAUCGUGAUGGGAUAUGGAUGUGGACUGAUAUGUGGAUUGUCAUCUGCAUACAUUGUUCUCAAACUAGGAAAGCCUUGGUGGUUUGUGAGAUAUAUCGAAGUGCUGCAACUGAAGUUGAUGAAAAGAUAUGCAUGAAGAAUGGUACUGGCCAAUCAAGACCAACUUGAAAGUUGUUGGACAUUUCUGAACCAGUAGUGUACUAUUCUCUUUGUGGCUGCAUAAGUUUUUGGUAUUGGUGUAAUAUUUUGUUUGGUCUUGAAUCAUAAUGAUUUUUCUUUUUUCAGGGGUAUUAAUAUAAACCUUGGUAUUGUGUAAUAUUCUGUUUGAUCAAUGUUUAUAUCAGUAAUUAUAUGCUCCUCACUGCAUCAUGCAGCUCUCAUAAUAUUAUUAUUAUUAUUAUUAUUAUUAUUAUUAUUAUUAUUAUUAUUAUUAUUAUUAUUAUUAUUAUUAUUAUUAUUAUUAAUUGAUUACACACUCACACGUGGGGAGUCGACCUCCCGACCUCCAGCAAAGGGGUAAAAGAGCUCUCAUAUUAUCUUCAUAUGUGUAUUAUUUGGAUAUCAAAGUUGCAGGGACAUAUGGAUAUGUGUUAACAGGGACUGCUCGGUCUUGGACGGACUCUUUCCAAGUCCUCUGGGGUCCUAUCGAUUCAAAUUAGUCUAUUAUCUGCAUACUAGCUAAUUUGUCCAACUCGGGCUUCAAUAGUAAAGAUAAUAGGUGCGAGUUGAGUUUCUCAAAGUAUGAGUACAAUAUCGUUUUUUAAUGAUAGUUAGGGGGUGUGAUAUGCAAUUACCUCAAAAAUAUAUGAUCAUUAGUAUAUUAUAUUAGUAUCCACACACUUAUAUCUCAAAAUCUAUCCUCCAAAAUUAUCAUCUCUAUAGGCUAGCCACAUAAAAUAAAAAUUUAAAGAUAUUAGAUAUUUAGUUAUUUUCAUCAUAUAAUUUUUCCAUGCAAAAUAACAAAAUAUCUUUAUCAACUUAUUAUUUAUGAGUUAAAUAUUCAAGUUAUAUAAUUCGGGCAUGCUGGGUAUAAAUAGAAGUGUAACGCCUAAUUUCCGGGGUCUGGGAGUAGUUGGCGGGGUAUGAGAGAGCAGGCUAUUCAGAAGUCUUGGUCAUGAAAACUUCCAAGCUAACUUCGACAACGGAAUCUUCUGAGGCUACUAUUCUAAAGCACGCAUAAUCAUUGUAUUCAUAUUCCUCUCACACUGACAAAAAGUCUAUUUAAGCAAAUGAAAUACAAACAACUGAGUGGAAUGCUGACCGAAAAUCUUUUUGGCUGAGCUUAUGAGUUAUUAGUACAUGAUUAAUAUGAUAAGCUAAGCUGAGAGCAUAAGAUAUCGUUUGUAUAAUUUUGUGUUUAUUAAUGACUUAUAAAUUAUUAAAAAUAUAAUAAGAAAAAUAAAAAUGUUUUAUAACUAAUUUAUGUUUCAUGAGUAAUUUUUAUUAGAAAAAAGUUUUAAAAAAUUAUUUCACUGGAAAAAAACCUCCAACUAACUUUUGGCUCUAAAGUCAGUUUGUGACUUAUUUCUGACUUUAAAUCGGCUUCUCACUUUUACACAAACAAAAAUUUUUCAGCUUAAAGUUAAAAACAACUUUAAGCUCCGGUUUUAAACCUCGACAAACAUGCUCUGAGUUUGGUUUCACUUCAUUUACAAACCUCAACAAUUUCACCAUCAAACACAAUGACUUCUCCAAUCUCCGGUCAAGUACCACCAGCCAUUGAGAAUUUGGCACAACUUCAAUUCCAUACCAGGUUAGUCAUCUUCGGAGAUUACACGUCUUAGACCUGUCAAAUACAAAUUUCAAUCUCCAAACUGGUCCGACUUAUCUUCUAUGCUUUUUGUUGAGUCCGGCUCAUCUAAAGCCUUAAGAUGUUAGAAGAAGCCCCCAAUGAAUCUUAUAUAUGCUAUAUUUUAACAAUUCUGAGCACACUCAACCUUGGUAUUAAUAAUAUUGUGUCGAAAAUUCCAGAAUUUAUAUCUAAUUCUCAUAGCCUAACUUUCCUUGACCUUUCCAUAUAACAAAUUUACAGUUAAUCCUGUGCUUGAAUCAGUAUUUGCAACCAAAAUUAUGCAAUUAUAGUGCAGGUAGUCUUCCAGUUCUUCCUACUCUAUGCUAUAAUUUCAUUUGAUACCAAUAAUUUUACGCUCUACACUCCAGGAUGAGCUCGCAUAUUAUUGACAGCUAUAAUCCUUCCAACAAUUUGCGAUGCAAAGCAGGGGGGCGCCUGUAUUUUCAUAUGUCUAUAUUAUUGGAGAUUAAAGUUGUAUGGACAAUUGUGUUGAUAAUUUGCCCAAUGUUAACAGGGAUAGGUUGGCUUAAUUUGCCCAAUGUUAACAGGGAUAGGUUGGCUUAAUUUGCCCAAUGUUAACAGGGAGAUUAAAUGGCUUGCAUUGCUCAACGUAUAUCUCAUAAUAGUCUUACCGGACAUAUGUUAUGCAUUAUUAUUAUGCUUUCAUCACUAUUUUCAAACAUUUCUCAAUAUAUAUUUUCAAAGAAUUCUCAAGCACUUGAACAUUUGGACCGGUUCUUUCGAAGCCAAGAUGCCCAGGGUAUCAUGGCCAUGCACAAAAAUGAAUAAAUUAAGAGAGAUUGCUCAGGGUCUCCCCAAGCCUUUCAGGACUCAUUCCAAGUCUUCGAGGACCACUGCCUCACUCUUUCAAAGAUGUGAUAGUAGCUCGAGAGCGAUAUAAAUGAUUUUCCUGACACUAAAAAUAAAAAAAUCAGAUCAAAUUAAUCAAUAAUAAAUUAAAGAUGCAAUCCAAAUUAAUCCUAAAUUUUGAUGAUAUAUAAAAAUUAUAAUUAUAAAUUAUAUAACCAAAUCAGAAUUGAAUUAACUUACUUGGUACUAAAAUUGAUAAAAACAGUAUAAUAAUUUAAUUGAUGAAAAUUCAAAGUCUUCUAAUAAAUCCAUAAAAAAUUUGAUAAUCAAAAUAACGAAAAUUAUAAUUGAAAAAUCAAAAUCAAUAGUGUAUUGGAAUAUUGUUCACACACUUAUAUAUCAAAAUUUGUGGUCCAAAAACUAUAGCACAAUAUCCUAAAUACACCACAUUAAAUAAUAGUUCAAAAAUAUUCAAUAGAUAAUUGAUUUCAUUCAUAAUUUUGUUAUUUUAAAAACUAAUAAUUUGGUUGAUGUUAACCUAUAUUUUAAUAUAUAAUUAUAUUAUUUUCAUCUUAUUUUAUUUAACCAGAAACAAUAUUUUUAUAAUAUUUAUUACAUUAUUUAUAUUAAAAAAUAUAAUUUCAUUAAAAAAAUUGAAUAAAAUUAAGAGGAUAACUCUAUGCCUCUCCAAGUCUACAAGACUCAUUUCAAGUCUACCUCGGACCACUACCUCAACCAUUCAGAGAUGUGAAAGUAGUUUGAGAGUGACAUAAAUUAUUUUCGUGACAAUAAAAUUUAAUAUCUAAUAUAAAUUAAUUAAAUUAGAUAAUAAUAAAUCAAAACUAAUUAUGAAUUAUGAUAAUAAUUAAAUAAAUUAUAAUUAAAUUAUAUAAAUCAACUCCAAAUGAUACAAAUAACACUAAACCUUGGUUACUUUGUUGGUAAAUAAAUAUAAUAUAAUAAUCAAAUUGAUGAGAAAUGAAAAUCAUCUAAUAAAUUCACAAAAAAUAUAUGAUCAUUAGUAUAUUAUAUUAGUAUCCACACACUUAUAUUUCAAAAUCUAUCCUCCAAACUUAUCAUCUCCGUAAACUAGCCACAUAAAAUAUAAAUUUAAAGAUAUUAGAUAUUUAGUUAUUUUCAUUAUAUAAUUUUUCCACACUAAACAACAAAAUAUUUUUAUCAAAAUUAUUAUUUAUGAGUUAAAUAUUCAAGUUAUAAUUCCAGCAUGCAGCGUAUAAAUAGAAGUGUGCAGUAUGAUAUCAGAUUCAUAACCCAGUUGAUCAGAAGAAACAUGGCCUACUCUGCAAAGCCUUCUCACCUUCUUCUCUUUGUUUUCUUUCUCUCAUCACUUGAAUCCAUUCUUGCAACAACACGAGAGGGAGAAGCUCUUGUGAAGUGGAAGAAUAGCCUAGCCCCUUCUUCUUUUCUCGACUCUUGGUCACUCACCAAUCUCGAAAAUCUUUGUAACUGGACUGGCAUUACUUGUAACUCUGCAGGUUCAGUCUCUGAGAUUAACCUUUUUGAGAAACAACUUAAUGGAAUGCUGUCCGAGUUCGGUUUCACUUCAUUUCCAAAUCUCAACAAUCUCACCCUCGCAUACAACUUCUUCUCGGGUCCAAUACCACCAGCCAUUGAGAAUUUAACACAGCUUCAAUAUCUUGAUUUAAGCAUGAAUAGUCUUAAUGGUCCCAUUCCGUUCCAGGUUAGCCAUCUUCAGAGUUUGCUCAUAUUAAACCUGUCACAGAAUGCAUUGCAAGCUCCAAAUUGGUCCCAUUUCUCUCCCAUGCCUGUUUUGCGCUUCCUCAAGCUCAGUAGAAAUCCUCUUGUGUCGAAAUUCCCAAAUUUUAUAUCCAAUUCUCAUAGCCUGACUUAUCUCAACCUUUCACAUAACAAGUUUAGUGGUGAUCUUGUACGUGAAUCAGUAUUUACCAAUCUGCAUCAUCUUGAAGUCCUCAGUCUUGUUGGCAACUCUUUUGAGGGGUCAUUUCCGCCAGAUAUAUUCAAGCUUUCCAAAUUAACACGUCUUGCCCUGUCAAGUAACAAAUUUUCAGGUUCAGUUCCCAACGACAUAAGGUUGCUUUGUGGUCUUGAAUACCUAUAUUUAGCUGACAAUUCCUUUGAAGGACCGCUUCCACCAGAUAUAUUCAAGCUUUCAAGAUUAAAACAUCUUGUUCUUUGGAGUAAUAAGUUUUCAGGUUCUGUUUCCAAUGAUAUAGGUUUGCUUUCUGAGCUUGAAGCCCUCAAUCUUGACUCUAAUUUUUUUGAGGGGCCGCUUCCCCUAAAUUUAUUCAAGCUCUCCAAACUAAAAUUUCUCACCCUGACAAGUAACAAAUUUUUAGGUUCAAUUCCCAAUGACAUAAGGUUACUUUGUGAUCUUGAAUACCUAUAUUUAGGCAACAAUUCCUUUGAAGGACCGCUUCCACCAAAUAUAUUCAAACUUUCAAAAUUAAAAGAUCUUGUUCUUUGGGGUAAUAAGUUUUCGGGUUCUGUUUCCAAUGAUAUAGGUUUGCUUUAUGAGCUUGAAACCCUCGAUCUUAACUCUAAUUUUUUUGAGGGGCCGCUUCCGCCAAAUUUAUUCAAGCUCUCCAAACUAAAGAUUCUUUCCCUUUAUAAGAAUAACUUUUCAGGUUUUAUUUCUAAGGAUAUAGGUUUGCUUUUCGAACUUGAAAGCCUCUAUCUUGGCUCUAAUUUUUUUGAGGGGCUGCUUCCCCCACAUGUAUUUAGGCUCUCCAAAUUAAGAGAUCUGGGUCUCUCAGACAAUAGAAAUUUAUUUGAAGGAAGUAUUCCUAUUGGACUGGGACUCUUGACUAACCUCAGGUACUUAGAUCUACAUUCCAAUAAUCUCGGUGGCUAUAUUCCAUCUGACAUUGGAAACCUGAAGCUACUAGUACUUCUUGAUCUCAAUUCUAACCAAUUGACUGGACCGCUUUUAAAGAUCGUUUCUAAUCUCACAAAUCUUAUGUUUCUUGAUGUAAGUGAUAAUAGUCUUAGUGGAAAUAUUCAGAGAGACUUGUGGAACUAUAACGAUCAUCCAACUUUGGAAUUCAUCAAUUUAAGUGGGAACCAUUUUACGGGUAUAGUUUUUCUCUAUAGAUCUUUCCUUUUGUCAUAUGUAACUAAGCUAGUAAUCUGAUUAAUUGCAGUUUUACCAAAGUUUCAACAAUCUUGACAGGUGAGCUUCCAACAACAAUUUGCAAUGUCACUUCCCUUUCGGUUCUUGAUUUGUCAAAUAAUGCAUUAAGUGGUGCACUUCCAAACUGUUUCGGGAAUCUUGCUGAUGGAUUGCUUUACAUUAAUCUUGCUAAUAAUCAGUUUCGAGGAACAAUACCAACUACUUUCUCCAGGAGUUGUCAGCUGACAUAUCUGAACAUGGAUGAUAAUCAGUUUGAAGGAUUGUUACCCCCAUCUUUAGCGAACUGUAAGCACUUGAGAAUCCUUGAUAUGGGCAACAAUAAAAUAGGUGAUACAUUUCCGUCAUGGCUUUAUGUACUUGGAGCGCUAGAAGUCCUUGUCUUGCGAUCAAAUAAACUCUAUGGUACAAUAAGGGCAAGGAGCAUAGAAGAUCCCUUCCCCAAGUUGCGGAUUGUGGAUCUGUCCAACAAUCAAUUCAUGGGCCAUUUGCCAAUUCAAUACUUUAAGAAUAUGAAAUCAAAUGAUAAUUUGUAUCGUUAUCUGAAUUCCACAGGAGAAAUAGAUAUCUCUUAUGAAGCAGCAGUCUCAUUAACUGUGAAGGGAACAGAGUAUGAAGUAGCAAAUAACCUUCAUAUUUACACAGCCAUUGAUCUGUCGUGCAACAAAUUUCAGGGAGAAAUUCCAAAGGUUGCCGGAGAGCUUAGAUGGCUUGCAUUGCUCAAUUUAUCUCAUAAUAGUCUAACAGGACCUAUCCCAUCAUUGCUGAGAAAUAUGAAAGAACUCCAAUCUUUAGAUUUGUCCUCAAAUCAACUGACAGGGGCUAUUCCACCUCAGUUAACUGCAUUGACAUUUCUAGAGGUCUUAAAUCUCUCGAACAACGAUCUCAGUGGAGAGAUUCCUCAGAAAGGACAGUUCAGCACAUUCAACAAUGAUUCUUAUCUAGGAAACUCCGCGUUAUGUGGAUCACCAUUGACGAAGAAAUGCGCAAACACAGCAUCACCUCCACAAGAAGUCAGAAAUGGUGAUGAAGAUGAUGCUGGUGAUGAAUGGACAUGGGAAGCAAUCGUGAUGGGAUAUGGAUGUGGACUGAUAUGUGGAUUGUCAUCUGCGUACAUUGUUCUCAAACUAGGAAGGCCUUGGUGGUUUGUGAGAUAUGUCGAAGUAUUGCAACUGAAGUUGAUGAAAAGAUAUGCUUGAAGAAUGGUAUUUGGUCUUGUACUAGCUGCAUAAGUAUUUGGCAUUGUGUAGUAUUCUGUUUGGUCUUGAAUUAUAAUGAUUUUUCUUGCUUCAGGGGUAUUAAUAUAAACCUUGCUAUCUUGCUCAGUGUUAAUGCAAAUUAAGAUGAAUGAAUAAACAAAAAAUAUGCAUCAAAUUAAGAAUUCAGAAAUGGUGAUACUCAUGCAGUGUCACCAACUCAAGAAUUCAGAAAUGGUGAUACUCAUGAAGAUGACGAUGCUGAUGAUGAACUUUGAUGUGGGACUUGGGUUGACCACUUGUUGGGCCGCACAACACCUGUUAAGCAUUAGUAUGACGUUGUCCGCUCUGGAUCGUGACCAAGCCCGCACGGAUUUGUUUUCGAGCUCCUCUCAAAAGGUCUAAAACUAAUGGAGUUGUUUGGCUGCUUAUAUUCAAGAUAAAUCUUUUUGAUGUGGGAUUUGGGUUGACACCCACACAACAAGACGUGAGGAAAUAUUGUUGUCUUGAGAUGACAUAUGUUCUGAAUUAUUAUUAUGCUUUCAACAAUAUUUUCAAACAUUUUUCAAUAUGUAUUUUUAAAGAAUUCUCAAGCACUCGUGACCCCUAUAAUUUUUUCUCAGGCAACGCCUAUAGUUUCAAAGAAUUCCCAGGCACUUAAACAUUUGGACCGGUUCUUUGGAAGCCAAGAUGCCCAGGUUAUCAUGGCCAUGCACAAAAUGCAGUACCAAAGAAAAAAAAUAAUAAAUUAAGAGAGAUUGCUCUGGGUCACCCCAAGCCUUCGAGGACUCAUUCCAAGCCUCGCCCUUUCAAAGAAGUGAUAGUAGCCGGAAAGUGAUAUAAAUUAUUCUCCGGACACUAAAACUAAAUAAUCAGAUCAAAUUAAUCAAUAAUAAAUUAAAGAUAUGAAAUCAAAAUUAAUCCUAAAUUUUGAUAAUAUACAAAAAUUAUAAUUAUAAAUUUUAUUAUCAAAUCAAGAUUAAAUUAACUUACAUGGCCGUUAAAAUUGAUAAACGCAAUAUAAUAGGGUUAAAAAUGGGGCGGGUUCGGGACGGGUACUUCAUUUCCCAGCCUCGUCCCAUAUAUAUUUUUCCUGCCCCGUCUCCGCCCCAUUCUCCACGAAGAUUUAUUUUUAAUCCCCAUUGCCGCCCGCCCCACCGGGGAUUGAAUAUAAUUUCGCCCCGCCCCGCUGCUAUAAUAUUACACUUUAAUUAAUUACCUUAAAAUUUAAUAAUCAGAAUUUAAUAAAAAUAUACGAGACAUGUAUAUUAAAAGCAAAAAACUAAAUAUAAUAGAAAUCAAAGAGACAUGUUAUACAUUGUAAAAUUAUAGUUUUAUGUAUUAUAUAAUAGAUAAUAUUAAAUAUAUUAUAUUAAAUAUAAUUAUUUAUUUUUAUUAAAUAUAUGCGGGGCGGGGUGGGGAAUCCCCGCGGGAAUUCAACAAAUACCAUGCUUGCCCCAUAUUUUAGCGGGGCAGAUAAUCAUUCUCCGUCACUACCCCAUUCCCCAUAGAGUAGUGCUAGAUGCACAAAAUUGGAUACAUAAUUUUACACAAAAUGACAUGGCAAUCUAGGUGGAGAGCUUUAAUUGGUAUUAUUAAUGCAUGUGCAGGGGCUCAUUCCAAUCACAAAUUGACACAUACUCAUUCUGUGAAUAUUUCUGUACUCAAUUCUGUGCAGGUAGCAUUUUUCUUCCCCAUAUUAGCGGGGCGCAUCGGCUCCAUUCGGGGCGGGUUCCCCAUUUUCCCCACCCAAUUUUUAACCCUACAAUAGUAAUCAAAUUGAUGAAAAGUCAAAGUCCUCUAAUAAAUCCAUAAAGAAUAUGAUAAUCAAAACUACAAAAAUUAUAAUUGAAAAAUCAAAAUCAUCCUAAUAAGUUCAUAGAAUAUAUAUGAUCAGUAGAGCAUUAGAAUAGUGUUCACACACUUAUAUGUCAAAAUUUGUGGUCCAAAGACUAUGACACAAUAUCCUAAAUACACCCCCAUUGAAUAGUAGUUCAAAAUAUUUAAUAUAUAAUUGUUUUCAUUCAUAAUUUUGUUAUUAUUUAAAAAAUAAUAAUUUAAUUGCUGUUAACCUUUAUUUUAAUAUAUAAUCAUAUCGUUUCCUUACAAUUUAAUUAUCUAGAAACAAUAUUUUUGUUAUAAUCAUUACAUUAAUUAUAUUAAAAAAUAUAAUUUUGUUAAAACAUUGAAUGAAAUUAAGAGUAUUAAUCUACGUCUCUCCAAGUCUACAGGACUCAUUCCAAGUCUGCGUGAGACCACUGCCACCACCUUUGAGAGAUGUGGAAGUGGAAGUAGCUUCAGAUUGACCUAAAUUAUUUCCUGACAAUAAAUUUAAUAUCCGAAAUAAAUUAAAUUAAACUAGUUUUUUGAAACAAUUAAAUUAAACUAGUUAAUAAUAAAUUAAGAAUAUAUAAAAUCAAAACUAAUCAUGAAUUAUGAUAAUAAUUAAAUAAAUUAUAAUUAAGCUAUAUAAAUCAACUCCAAAUGACACCAACAGCACCAAACCUUAGUUACUUUAAUAUUGGUAAAUAAAUAUAAUAUAAUAAUCAAUUGAUGAAAAAUCAAAUCAUCUAAUAAAUUCACAAAAAAUAUAUGAUCAUUAGUAUAUUAUAUUAGUAUCCACACACUUAUAUUUCAAAAUCUAUCCUCCAAAAUUAUCAUCUCGAUAAACUAGCCACAUAAAAUAAAAAUUUAAAGAUAUUAGAUAUUUAGUUAUUUUCAUUAUAUAAUUUUUCCACACUAAAUAACAAAAUAUUUUUAUCAAAUUAUUAUUUAUGAGUUAAAUAUUCAAGUUAUAAAUCCAGCAUGCAGCGUAUAAAUAGAAGUGUGCAGUAUGAUAUCAGAAUCAUAACCCAGUUGAUCAGGAGAAACAUGGCAUACUCUGCAAAGCCUUCUCACCUUCUUCUCUUUGUUUUCUUUCUCUCAUCACUUGAAUCCAUUCUAACAACACGAGAGGGAGAAGCUCUUGUGAAGUGGAAGAAUAGCCUAGCCCCGUCUUCUUUUCUCGACUCUUGGUCACUCACCAAUCUCGAUAAUCUUUGUAACUGGACUGGCAUUACUUGUAACUCUGCAGGUUCAGUUUCUGAGAUUAACCUCUGUGAGAAACAACUUGAUGGAAUGCUGUCCGAGUUCGGUUUCACUUCAUUUCCAAAUCUCAAGAAUCUCACCCUGGCAGACAACUUCUUCUCGGGUCCAAUACCACCAGCCAUUGAGAAUUUAACACAGCUUCAAUAUCUUGAUUUAAGCAUGAAUAGUCUUAAUGGUCCCAUUCCGUUCCAGGUUAGCCAUCUUCAGAGUUUGCUCAUAUUAAACCUGUCACAGAAUGCAUUGCAAGCUCCAAAUUGGUCCCAUUUCUCUCCCAUGCCUGUUUUGCGCUUCCUCAAGCUCAGUAGAAAUCCUCUUGUGUCGAA